RNAcentral lists this long non-coding RNA (86126 nucleotides) under Citrus maxima (pomelo). Its description in RNAcentral is "long non-coding RNA (CMAX_LNC003701)". The stretch from base 14699 to 14805 matches the Rfam family "Plant small nucleolar RNA R71". The record is from RNAcentral. Lineage: Eukaryota; Viridiplantae; Streptophyta; Magnoliopsida; Sapindales; Rutaceae.
CCACCAUCAAACACUAUGCAAAAUGUCUUCACACACACGAACUAAACGCUCGCGCAUUUAACACACAAACAAAACACACACGGAUACAACUUGAUAGAAUUACAAAACACCAGCCUAUUAACAAACUACCAAGAACACCAACUACCAGAUCUAGAUCUAGAGUCAAGAUCUAUUAACAUUCAAUUCCAGAACCUAAAACAAUUAACCCCCAAAAUCCAUAAAGAGCUCUGCCCUGUCUCUUGAGAGCGUAAACGACAUCCAUCGCAGUCACGGUCUUUCCACUGAACGCGGGUUGCUGCCACUGAUCGCGCUGCCAGAAGCUGCUGGUACUGCUUGCGAUCGAAACUGCCGCUGGUGCAUCCUCAAAUCGAAAACCACCGCUGCAGGUGCUGCUGCUCGUUGCCGCUGUAAGCUGCUGCUCGUCAAUUCGGUAAUCCUCUGUGGUGAUCAGAAGUCGUCUUUGUAUCCAGGGUUUUAUACGAUGAUGAUGGUGGUCAUAUUUGUUUUUGCUUUCGUUUUUCGCUUUUAGUUUGUAAGAUUAGUAAAAAAAAUGAUAGCAAAGAAAUGUAUUGAUGAUGAAAGUAGAUUAUUAAUUUGUUUUUAGUUUUAUCCGGUCGAAUGUUGUAAUGCCUCGGAAGGUGAGAGUUUGAUUCUGAGAUUGAAUAAAAGUAACCGUACAGACAAACUGUCCAGCGUAGUUUGACUGAGAACUUCAAAUUAGUGGAUAACAAAAUAUCUAGAAUAUUUGCAUGUUGACAGCAAAGAAACUGUCCUAUUUUAUUUUAUUUAUUUGUAAAAUGAAAUAAAGUAUGGUUAAAUCUUUAGGUACCAAUAAUGUAUUCAUUUUGGAGAGAAAUUUUAUGGUAAGAUAAUUGAUUUUAAUAUAUGGAUUUAUAUUUUAUAAAUUAAACUGUGGUAUUUGAAAAAUAAAUUUAAAAGGAUGUUGGAAGAAUUUUAAAGAAGUGUUAAAAGUUCCACCCUUAAUUCAAAGAGUUAGUAUGCAAAAGUGAAAAUAUAAGAAACACUCAUUGACACCGUUAGGCCUUUGGCCUGAUGGUAAAGAAUCUAUUGAGGGCACUUGUUUAAGUAAAAACAUAAGGAUUAAUAGUAUUUGACCCCCUUGAUUUAUUUCAAUAACACCCACUAUUCAAUUAUCUUUAUGUAUUUUCAAAAGUACCCUUAUUCAUCUGUUUGGAAUAAGUGCAAAAUGUUACAUAGAACGCUCUAGUCAGCUACCAUAUGCUUUGAGUACUUUAUUUUUUACGGAGAGCGGAUGCAUGGAUCGUCUCACUCUUGUGUCCCAAUACUACUCUUACUAGGCGAAUCAAGUGCCAUUGCAUCAUCAUCGACCAGAAUUUUUAACAUCAUCUUCAUCAACGAUUUUUUUUAUUUUUUAUUAACAAUCUAAUUUCUUCUUAAACUUUCUUCAUUACUCUAGAGUUCUUAAAAAUUUAAAUUAUUUUGGUGGGUAGUUUAGACAUUUCAAUUUAAAAUAGAAAAAGUGGGGAUUAUUGAGUUAAAAUGAAUGAGUCAAAUUCACUACUCAAUCACACUAAAAAAAAAGGGCCGAUCUUCGAGAAUUUAAAUUAUUUUGGUGCAACAGCCAACAAUACCCUAUCGGUCAUUCGGUCUGUCUUCAACUCCAACAACAACCCUUUCUGUAGAACUUAGUUUUCACGCUUAUCUUCGAGAAGCUCCUUACUUCGUAUAAUCACACAGAGAUGGAAACUACAGUAACACUAUUUUUAAAAUUAUAUUUUUGCCUAAAACUUUUAGUAAUUUGACUAUGGCCUAAAAUGUUAUAAAACUUUACAAAUAGAUCCAACUUCAGAAUUUCUAAAAAUUUCCUGGAAUUAUGCUACGGCACAAAACUUUAAAAUAUUUUUCAAAAAAUUCUUUUUCAUAAUUUUACCAUAAUGCUUAUUGAUUUCAAAGUUCUCAAAACUUUUUCAAUUUAAUCCAAAUUCCUCAAAUCCACAAAAUAUUUUAUCUUAUAAAUAUAAAACAUUUUGGUUUAUGAAAAGUAAUGAUUUAUUAAAUAAAAGCUUGAGCUUCUCAAAUUCUAAACCAUGCAUAUAAUAAAUCAUACUGGCUUUACAAGAAUUUGUCGCAAUAAUGACUCCGUUGGGCUAAACUUUGUUCUUGAUCACGCCAUUGUCCGUUGAGUGUCUUAAGCUUAAUUUCACGCGAUUCACUUACAUAAAUAUUAUCCUUCAAGAACUAAUGAAAAUAUGAAAUACAAUAUUUAUCAUAUUACUUAAGACAUAUGUUUGUUAUCUUCAAAAUUACAAAAUAUAUAGCCCUUUAGGCUAAUAAGAUGGUGUUGAUAGAUUACUUAGAUUAUUUUGUGACAAUAAGCCCACAGUGCUGUAUUCUAAUAACAAUAGGAGCUUGACGAAGUCGAAGUAUAUAGACAUCAAGUUCCUAGUUGUUAAAGAAAGAGUUCAGAGUAGACAGUUGUUUAUAGAGCACGUCAGUACAAACUCCAUGAUUGCGGAUCCACUUAUUAAGGGAUUACUACCCAAAAUGUUUACCACCCAAACUUUCGAUGCAUUCUCUUAAUUCUCAAUUUCUCGGUCGAAGGUAGUACCAAUACUAGGUCGCUCUUUUGAUUUUGAUUUCUCGAAUCCAGAGAUUCAUGAAUCGGGAUCCUAAUGCAUAUAGAUACAAAUGGUCCAAUGGUUAAAAUGUUUCAUGAGCAUGUUGCUCGUAUGAGUGUCGCGUUAUUAAAGGAUAUUCAGUUUUAGUGAGAGUUUGUGAUUUUAGAUGCUCUUGUAAUAUAGACAUUUUUUCAGUUAUUUCAAUUUUUGGAUAUUUCAGCUUGUUUUCUGUAGAAAUAAAGUUUUGGUUUACUCACACUUUGAUUUUAGUAUGGUUUGAUCCACUAAGUUUUAAGAUGGACCAGUUGGAAAUAGACAUGUUAAGAUCACAUUACAUGAAAUUUCUAUACUACACAUUCACAUUAUGAUUCAUGUCAUUCAGUUUUGUAUUGACAUAGUGACCAUUGAUGGGUCAAGUUAUGAUAAUUAUAAAAAAGGCCGCUUUGAUCCGAUGUUGAUAUGAUUGAUGGAUCAAAUUGGCUGUAGAUACAUUUCAGUAAUGACAGUAAGGUUGUGCUCAUACAGUUAUUUUUGCAGAACAUAAUUAUAAGGUUACACAUAUAGCCCAAGUGGGAGAUUAUUAGAUUUUUUAAUCCAAUAUUGUUGGAUCCUUAAUUCAACGUUGAGCUUAUAUGUAAAUAAUUAUGUGUUACAAACUAUCAUAUAAGGUUAAACCCAAUUAAAGGUGAAAAUCUAUUAAGGUUUUCGGUAUAAUGAGCUUUAAUGUAUCUAACAGGGUGUGAGCCUUUAAUAUUUAGAGAUCUAAUGGUAUUCUAAUUCUAUGAUAGACAAAAUUAAGAAUACAUAAUGACAAAAGAAAAAAAUUAUCUAUAUAAGUGGUUAUGGUCCCCAGGUCACAUGUAUUUUUCCAUUCUUUCUUAUAUCCCACCAUCAGAGAGAGAGUUCGCAGAGAGAAUUAAAAAACUCUUUAGGAGAACGUAUUGAUCUGAAAGGUCAACCACGCAUUCUUAGAGAAUAAUUAAGCAUUAUAGAUUUAGGUACGCUUUCACAUAAUUUUAUUAUUAAUUUUUGAUAAUACAACAUGAAUAAAUUAUCCAAGUUCCACUAAUAAUCUUCAAAGUCGGCUCACCCGAAAGGGCCACCACUGUUGCUUGCUUUUUUUGCUUUUCCAGAGGGACGGCUAGCUGGUUAGAGAUGAAAUUCGAUGGAAGGUUAUUAAAAACGGAUCCAAAAACGGCCACUUGAUGAUACGGGUCAAAGGCUCAGAAUCAGGUGAUGUGGCACCUUCAGAACCGUCAACUUGGAGUAAAAUCAGUGGCCAAAAUAGACUGAUCAAUCGCGUUAAAAACAUAGGCGGGUCAAGCGGCCCGUUCUUCAGAGAUCGCAAUUUCGAGCGGCCAGGUCUACGUUAGGUCGCAUACAACAGUCAAUCAACCUUUGGUCAACAUGAAAGUCAACGAGGAUGCCCCAUGUCUCUGCGGAGUGCAUUACAUGAGAAUGCAAUCUACCUCCAAAAAUCCAUUUUCAAUCCUAUCUCUAACUUAACUUAGUCCUGGUUGUUAACUAUUUUAAUAUUUUCGACCCUCCGAACCCAAAAAUAAGACCCUUUCCCUCAUUUAAAAAUUCAAAAAUACUAAAGCAAUGAUUUUAUCCCUCAACCCAUUAUUGAAGGUUUGUAACAAACCUUAAUACAUAUUACACAUUUCAAACUUUGUAAGUGGGCAGUCUGACUAACAUGAGACUACAUUAUUUCAUGCUAAGUAGCUCCAUAAGCCAGCAUAAUGGUGUACAAUGCACACAUAAUACAGCAGCUGCCGUGUUGACCCCAGAGGGACCCUGAGUUUGCUUAGCAUUAGCAUUUUUUUUUUAAUUUCCUAUUAAAUAAAAAAAACCCAGAAAUGCUUCCUGCUCUGAUACCAAGUUAAAAGUCUAAAGGAAUAAAAACUACCAGAAGAAUUGCACUGGGAGAAUGGUUUAUCAUUGCUGUGUAACUUCUUGGUAUAGAGUUUUGCUAUUUAUAUGCAGGGCAAGAUACAUCACAUGGUAAGAAUCACUACUUAAUUGUGCAAUGAUUUCAUGAGAUUAUUCCUUUCAUUUUCACAAUCUUAUUGAUCUCUUUCCUUCCAUACAGAUUCUUGCUUUGUAUUCAGGAUUACUGCUUGACAGAUUUUACACGAUUAUGUGGCAUCUGAUUCGGACUCUCUUUUCUAACUCCUAAGAUAAGGACUGAUCAUCUUCCAUUUACUUUUUAAUAUGUAGGAAGGAAUCGAGGUAAAGAAUUUUGAUACUUGGCUUGUCCAAAGAUUUAAGAUUCUAAUUAGUGUGAAAAAUACUACACUUCUCCACACACACAUGCAUAAACUACUACAUACCCUUACCUAAUAGAUCAACUUAGCCAACAUGGAUUCUACUAUUUCCAUUGAGUUUGAGGAAGCUCCAUCAUUGGGCAGCAAAGCCGCGAAUCAGUCACAAACGGAUCCAAAGUUGUUAAAGGCUGCAGCUGAUGGCAAUGCUGAACCCUUCAAAGAUAUGGCAAGAGAAGUAAUUGAGAGCUUGUUAACAUUACAGACUAGGAACACAAUCCUGCAUGUCAACAUCAUAUGUCAGGAAACAGAAAAUGCGUCAACCAAGUUCGUAGAAGAGAUACUUGAGAUAUGCCCAGCACUGCUAAUACAAGUUAAUGCCAAAGGCGAUACUCCGCUCCACGUUGCAGCAAAAUUCCGCCAUUCUGAUAUAGUGAGAGUUCUUAUUGGCAGAGCAAAACUAGCUCAACAUGGAGAUGAAGAGCCAGAGAGCAGGGUUGAAGCUGCAAGGCAGAUGAUUAGGAUGGUGAAUAAUAAGAAGAAUACAGCACUGCACGACGCAAUCUUUCCUGGCAACAUGGAGGUGGUGAAAAUACUGACGAGAGAAGACCCGGAUUAUCCAUAUUCAGCAAAUGAUUAUGGCAAAACACCGCUCUACAUGGCUGCUGAGUCUGAGUCUUCCGAUAUGGUGCUUACCUUGUUAGAAAACUGUACAUCAUUGUCCCAUGAAGGCCCCAACGGAAAGACGGCUUUACAUGCUGCAGCUAUGUACUUUGAAUUCAGUAAGUUUAAUUAAUAGUGGGAAUUUGAUUCUUGAUAUCUUUUCUUGUAAGUUUGUUCAUGCUUUUUUAUCACUCUUGGAGUGUUGUUUUAAUUAAGUUUGUAGUUGGCCCUGAGGCCUGGCAGAAUGAUUUUCAUGUAAUUAUAUUUAGCUGGCUAUCGGAGUUCAAAUCCUCCGAGGUGGUGGUUAAAAAUUCAAUUCGAAUUCUAAUUUUAUUUAUCUUUUGUCUCUGUAUUCUCAGAAGGAGAUCAUCAUGCGAUGCGACAAUUAUUUGGAAGAAAGAAGAGUCUGCUUAAAGUAACAGAUCAAUAUGGGUGGACUCCGAUUCAUUACGCUGCAUAUCAUGGGAAGUACUGGAUAAAUGAUUUAUUAGAAAUUGAUCAAACUGCUACAAACAUUGCUGACAAAGAUCGAAAGAUGACAGCUCUUCAUUUAGCAGCGGGCCGAGGACAUGCCCGAACAGUUGAAACAAUUCUUUCUCUUGCUCCAGAAUGUUUUGAACUGGUCGAUAACAGGAGAUGGAAUUUUCUUCAUUAUGCUGUGGCCAGUUUUCAAUUGCAAGAUUUAAAACCUCUUCUAAGAAACCCGUUUGCGAGGAUCCUUAUAAAUGAGGGAGAUGCCAAGGGGAACACUCCUCUCCAUGUGCUUGCUGCCGUCCGUCCGAGUGAAUUCAAUCGCUAUAUGAGUAGGACGACUCAUGCCAACUAUCAAGCUGUCAACGACCAAAAUGUUAGUGUUGGACACAUUAUGAAAUAUGGCUAUCCUGAGCUCCGGGUAAUUAAUUUGUCAAUUCUUUCAACUUAUAAAUCCAGCUUUUUCAUUACUUGUUUUUUUACGCUGUUAAUUAAUAUUCAAGUUCAAAUUACAGGAGGAAAUCAGAGAGUUAUCCACAGAUGUUGGCAGAGGACAAUAUCCUCAUGGUGCCAUAUCCAGAGUAGCAAAAAUAUGUUUGUAAGACCAGAUCCAAAUGCAGUGGCGUGUGGUGUGGGGACUAGACCGGGCUAGACCAAAAAAUUACUCAAUAUCCCUUAAAUUUUAUGUUACUUUCAUUUUUAGUUUUUUUUUUUCUCAAGUUUGUCCUGAAAUCAAUCUUUAUUAAAAUAACUAAAAUAGUAUUUAUAAUUAAGUUAUUCUAAUGUUGGAACCUUUAAAAUUCAAUAUCAAAUAGUAAUUUAUUUUUUUAAUUACUUCCUUUAGAGCAAGUUCAUUGAUGUUGCAGUACCUUUUGAAUAUUUUUUUUGCUAUGUUCACGCAUAACAUAUUCAAUAAAUUCAUAAAUUCCUUAUUUAACCCUGCCUAAUUAAAAUUUCUGGGUCCACCCCUGUCAAGAUGAUUUGCAAAUGAAUUAUCUUGAUGAUCCUAAAAAUGACUAUAAGGAUGUGAGAUCGCCAGAUGUUUUGGUAUAGGGAAAAUUACCCUUUAGGACAAUGAUUUGCACAUGCCUUGAGGAAUUUUCUCUGAGUCGGUAUUUGUUGGUCGGAUGAUAAAUUCAUAGUUGCAGGAAGCAACUAUUUGGUUCCCGGUUGCAACCACAAGGUUAUGAUUGCAACCUUCGUUGUUAAAUAACAAAGAAUACUGUUGUCAGUCUACUGUUUAUCACCGUUCAGUUUGUCGAUGGGUGUUGUUGUUCUGGCUGAUCUGGUCUUUCAAAAAAGUUAUUUUGUCUCAUAUUUCCAACAUAAAUAGCCCAACAAAUUUGUGCCAUUCUGUAUAUUUAUUAAUAUGAAAACGAUUCAUAAUUGUUUGACUUGUCUUUAUGUUUGAUCAAUGGAUAUGUUCCAAAAAUUACUUGAGAAAAAGAAGAUUUAACAUUUUUUUCUGGGCAAGCCGGCUGCUUCUCGAAAAAUUACUGACACUGAUAUCUGAGGUUUCUCGGAAGGCUCUUCUCCUUUCGUUUAUAUUGGAGUUCCAAUUUUCAAGGGUUGUACAAUAUUUUGUUUCUUGCCGGGCGAGUUGAGCAAGUUAAUACCGUUGACCCUAGCGGUUGACCUAAUAAUUAUUUUUUUUUUCCCUGUGACAACACUACAUCGUCUUGCCUUUGCUUUUCUCCGGGAUCUGUCACCCCAUGGUUGAUUUAACAUUUCUCUUAUCAAUUAAAAGAGUAAAUAAAACAUUAAAAAAAAAGUAGUUGUUAAAUUUCAUAAUUUUGUAACAUACAUCAAUCAAAUAGUUGUUAUUAAUAUAAAAAAUAAAAAUAAAAAUUAUAUGUGUAAAAAAAAUUCAGCUCAGGAAAAAGUCAACAGAUAGAUGCAUAAGAAUUCUAUUCUUCUCCGCAUUAACAAGUAGCAUUCAUAUACGACCCUUCAAUAAUGAAGUUACUGUUUUCAAGCCAUUGUUCAUCAUUAUUGUGUUUGCUAAUUGGUAUCAUUGUUCAGACUGAUUUAGGCUUUCAAUGAAACUAUAUUGAAUUAUAUUCCCAGCAAAUGGAUCCUGAUCUCAAAGCCGCAGUUAUGGCAAUAUAAUACUGAACCUUUCAAGGAUAUGGGAAGAGAUGUAACUUUGAACUCGGGCAUCAGAGGACUUGAGACUGAUUGUGUAAAUAUAUUUUGUACAAACGGAACAAUUGUGACACUUUGAGGUUGUCGGAUAGGAACUGCAUAAUAAGAUUGUCCCAUUGGAACCAUUGUGAUGCUCGCGUAAAUCAAUUAAAGGUUCCAAGAGGAAUAAAGAACACGUAUCAAAAUAAGGUAAAAUAAAAAGUAUAAAAGUCUAUAGUUAUUACAUGAAUGACACAUCCGGCAUUAAGCCAAGUUACCCAACAAAACUUUCAAAGAUUAAUGGAAAUACUCCAACAGCAAGACUUCCAGUAGUAAUACCCUCUUCCAGCGGCAAUACUCUAAUAGCCACGUACCCAGUAACUCUCCAACCCACUGUAAUUCCAGCCACAUACCCACCAUCUUCCAACACCAUUGCAAUUCCAGCCAUAUACCCAGCAACAUUCCAAACCAAACCCAGCAAACCAAUCUAUUCAAAAUCAAUCAAAAUACCCAAUGUUAUCGAAUGCAUAACAUGCACACUACAACCGUUAACAGAAACUACUAUAAUUUGACACUGCAACUUUAAUUUCAACAAAUUGCAACAUAAAAUUUUUUAAAAUCAAAGACCUAGUUACAAAAUGUACUUCAUGCAUUCGGUCAGCCAACGAAAGUAAUAAACUAGGAAAAGAAUAAAAAUCUAUUUAGUAGCAUAGUCCCUAUAAUCCACAAAAACAUAGAAAUGUUGAACCUACAACAUAGAUUUCCAAAUAGAAAAGCAGACUAUAUAUAAAUCGAACCUUGAGGAUAGAUGGGCAUAAGCAGGAGCUGGAAAUAAUAAAUAAGAACUAAAAAGCUCAAUAUAUACCAGUGUAAUGUGUUCCAAAAUUCCUUAAAAACACAGGAACAUUUCCACAACAGCAGCACAAAAAAUUGGGGGAAAAAAAGAAGACUAUCUGAACUUCAUGUGCCUGUGUAACAUAAAUAGAAAUGAGAGUGAGAUAAGAGACAAAAACACUCAAGUCCCUCAAGAUAAAUAGCCUUCACAUUCCUAUAAAAUUUGAAACACGCUGCCAUCACUGCAACAAAAUAUGGCAAAACAAAAAACAAAGUUAAAGACCCCCCCCCCCCCCCCAUUCAGCAGAGUCACUGUUAUUCCACAAAAGUAGAAACAUCUCACUAUCACUGCAACACAAAAUUUGCACAAAUGAUAACCAAAUUACAAGUUGAUUUUAUGUGUCUACACAGCUAGAAAGAGGAGUAAUAAACUAGAAGAUUUAAAAACUCAAUAGAUUAACCAAAUUACAAGUUGAUUUUACGUGCCUAAGAAAAGAAUAAAAAUCUAUUUAGUAGCAUAGUCCAAUAAUCCACAAAAAUAUGGAAAUGUUGUCCCUGAGGCAUAGAUUUCCAAAUAGAAAAGCAAAUUAUAAUUUGAACCUUUAAGAGCAAGAAAUAACAAAUAUGAACCAAAAAGCUCAUCGUGUUCCAAGAUUCCCCUAAAAACACAGGAACAUUUGCACAACUACAGCAUAAAAAAUUGGGGGAAGACUAAUAUACUAUCUGAACUUUAUGUGCUGGUCUAACAUAGAUAGAAACGAACAUGCCAAUCACUACAAUAAAAAUUUGAAAAAAUGAAAAACCAGAACAUAACCGCAACUUUAUAGAUUUCAUGUAUUCAAAGAUACAGGUGCAAACUAAGAAACAAUCUGAAAAACUCACCCAGAAGCCGAGUACUGCAAUCCCAAUACUCCUCAAGAACUCGGACCAUUUCUUUAACACAGUAGCAUAAAGCUUUACAACAGGGACAUGACCAACAUACACUCUGCUUUGGAAGGAUUUAAGUGGUUAACUAAGAAAAGGUAAAAAAUAACUCUUUAUAGACACCUUCCAGUAGGGUAGUUCCAUUACUCAUCAAAAACUAACCAUUUCUCUUACCCUGCAACAUAAAAAAUAUUUCUCUAAAGCAUUCAUAAUAGAAGAGAUAAACUAAAGAGUGGUAGGGGAAAAAAGAAACACAUUACAGAGACCCCAAAUAGCAGAGUCCGGAUACUCUACAUAAACUACGAACAUUCCAACAUCAUUGCAACAAACAUUUGCUAAAUAAUCGUUAUUGUUAAUACUAAUAUUAUUUUUAGAAGAGAUUAAUAAACCAUCUAAAUAUUUUCUUUCACUAAUAUGAUUAGAAUCUGCAGUAUUUAAUUAGAGAAAAUACCAAAUUACUUUUACGUGGUAUCAACCAAAAAAAGAAAAUGAGUGGUAAAAGCUACUUUCGGCUAACAAAAAGAACAUAGAUAAAAGAAUAUCCUAAACUAUUAAAGUGCCAAAAACUUGCUUAGGAUAUACUCAAAACGGAUCCAGACCAAUAAAACACUCACCAUAAUUACAAAUCCAAACCAUAAAUCUCAAACACUCGCCAAAAUAAGAUAAAAAUUAAAUAAAUUAAAUAAAAAAAUAAGAAUUAAAGAACAAAUAUUUAAAAUUGGCCAUUGGAAGCUUCCGUUGAGUUCAUUUAUACAAUCAAGUACAAGAUAAGAUACAAAUACAAAAGGGAAGUAAGAGAGAAAACCAUUUCAAAGACGAGCUCCCCCGUUAGGGUAAAGUACUCAAAAGAAGGAUAAAUUUAACCAAGUCAUCUAACCUGGCAGAAGAAGAAGAAGAGUGAUGAAUCAAGAAUCACAAAUGAAGACCUGGUGAGGCAGCCUUCAAGCUUCAGAUUUGUUGAAGCACAUGUCAUCAAGAGCUUCACUACGGUACCAUUUGCAUUUGGGGUUCUGCGAACACUCAGAUCUUGACCCCAUUUUGUUGCAGCGUGGGAUCCGGUUGCUGUUCCUAUGAACUGCCAAUAGGCUUCGAUACGAUGAAGAAGAGUCGGCGGCUGAUAAUGAUGAAAAUUGGUAAAGCGUUGAUAGCAAGACGACGAAGAUUAGCACCAUAAAUCUAUAGCUCGUUGCCAUGAGACCCAAGGCGAGUCGAUGCGCAAAAUGAGCACAAUUGGCCAUUGGAAGCUCACGCCGCUAGUCCGUGACAACUGCAACCAGCAUGAAACACGCUUUGUUGCCACUGUAUUGCUUCUUUUUGUGGUCAUCACAUACCGUCAGCCCAUACUGGAGCCUCACGUGCAACUAGUAGAGCCAUGAGCACCGCCACACUUCCGCUACACCAAGAAACACAACCCGAUUCGAACGCUUCCGCCAUGGUGGCUAUGGAUGUGAGCAUCUACCUAGGUCGAUUGAGAGUGGCUGUAAGGAGGCUAGGGUUUUAGGUGGUUUUAUGAGAGAAUCGUUUGGUGUGAGAAUGGGUGGGAACCUCAACACUUAGGAAAGCAAAUUGAGGGUUUCUUUUUAAUUUUAACUUUUUAUUUUUAUUUUAAUAGCUUUUUUAUUUUAUAAUAAAAAAUUUUAAAUAUUUAAUAUUUAUAAGCAAAACAUCAUCGUUACAACUUAAGUAAAACGACAAUGUUUCUUGAUUCAUAUAAUAUUUUAUUUCAAAUAAUACAAAAAAAUUCAAUCAAAGAAACGCUAAAAUCAAGUAAACAUUAAAAUUCUAUCAUGAAUUCUUGAUGUAAUAUAUUAUAUCACAAAGUCGUCACAUAUUAUUGACAUAAUUUAUUUCUAUCAUGAGUCCAUCAUGAAUACUUGAUAGAUACAAAAUUUAUCACGACUCUAUCAUACUUUUAUGACAUACGCCAUUUCCGUCACAAAAUGUUUGUCAUCUAUUGUCAGUUUUCUUGUAGUGCAGAGACUUUUUCAUAUGUCUAUUUAACUAUAUCCAAAAUUCAGAAUUUUCUCCUUAAUAAAUCUGAAGUUAUAAAAUUAUAACUGCUUGAAAGUUAAGAAUGACAGCAACUAGACAAAUUUUCUUCCAACUUCAUUCAAAUUCUAAGUCACUUAUUCAAUACUAAAAUCCAUGAGAAUUAAACUAACCAUAGUUUAACAUGUGAUUAACAAAUUUAAACUCAAAAUACAUCAAUCAUUGUUAAGUCCAUUAUUUAUAGAGUUGUUAUCUUAUGGCAAGUCUAAUUAAAUUAUAAUUUUAUUUAUUGCAUAUCUUGUAAUAAGGAUUAAAUUAUUAAUUUCUUAAUUUAGUGAAAUUCUAAUUUAUUAGGAAUAUUUGUUUCCUAAUUUAAUUAGAUGUCUAAUUUAGUAAGUCUAUUAAUGAUGAGAUUCUAUAAUUGGCGCUUAAGAUUUAUUUAGAGCAAGAAGUUAGUUCAAACAAGAAGUUUAUUAAAUGUUGUAGAUAUUUCUUGGGAGACAAGUAAGGCAAGAAAAUCAGAUUUAUUUUUAUUCUAGUUCAUAAGAAUUAUAAGAGGAAAGAAACUCUUAUUUUGGAAAGAAUUCAAGUUUUUUAAGACUUGCCAUUUUUGUGAAAUAUUAGUGCCUAUGUAAAGAGAGUAUUUCAUAAUUGAAGAGGCACAAUACAGAGCAUAAAACAAAGAAGCAAAAUUCAGUCUCCUCUCUAGAAUCCAAAUUUGGCGCAUAACGUUGUGUUGAUUUGUUUUCGUAUCUUCUUCAUUCAAAGUCUCGUAAUGAGACUAUUUCUUUUCAUCUUUAUGGAGAGUCUAUGUGGAUCUUGGAUUACUAGGCAUUGAAGAAUUAAAGAAUUGUUAUUAAUCACUUUGCAAAGUGCCUUGAGGAUCGUGGAUCAAGAGAGGUAGUAAUUAUUCAAGAGAAACAAAUUCAAUCUAAGGUUUAGUAAGUUGUAUGGUGAUAAAUUAUAAGUAAGAGUUUUAAUUUUAGUAAAUCCAUAGGUUGUAACAUUUCAACUUAAUGAAUUGCUUUUCAUCUGGGCGUGGCCUCGUGAAUAUAAGAUUGAUUAAUUUGAACCACGUAAAAAUCUCCGUGUCAUUUAAUUUCUGUAAUUUAUUGUGUUUUGGAAAAUCAAUAUUUUUUAUGCUGAUGAACAGUAACUGAUGAACAGUAAUAUUGAACAGUAUUCUCUAAAAUUAAUUAAAUUGUUAAUUCUAGGGUUUUAAUUGCCUACAUCUAUUUGCAAUAGAUCUAAAUUCCUUUCAAUUUGUAUUAGAGCAGGGCAUUAAUCGUUUAUAUGGUGAGAAUUUUGGAACCUAGAUCUAUUUUGUAGGUAUGAGUUUGUAAAGAAUGGGAGGCUCUUUGGCUCGUCCACCUAUAUUAGAUAAGACAAAUUAUGCUUAUUAGAAGCAAAUUAUGGAAAUUUAUCUGUAGUUAUUAAUGAAAGAGUUUGACAAUGUGUACUUAUAGGAUAUACUUCACCCACCAUAACUAAUGAAAAUGGUGUAGAAUCUCUAAAACCAGUCAGAGAAUGCACUAAUGAUAAACUCGAUGUAUUUGGUUAUAAUGCAAAAAGACGUAAUGCUAUUGUCAAUGGAGUUGAUGUGUUUUAACACCAACUAAUUUCUACAUGCAAGACAUCCAAAAUUGCUUGGGAUAUACUCUAAAGUACUUUUGAAGCCGAUAAUACAAUAAAACAUUCUAGACUUCAAAAACAUACAUAUGAAUUUGAGAACUUGAAAAUGCAUGAACAUGAAACCACAUUUGAAUUUAAUUCUAGAAUCCUUACUAUGGUAAAUGAUUUUUUUAUUUUGGAAAACUUAUUUCUAAGGAGGAAAUUUGUAGAAAAAUUUUAAGAUCUAUCCAUCAUUGAUAUCAUCCUAAAAUUUUGGUCAUUGAAGAAUAUAUUGAUAUGUCUACCAUGACUUGGAGUUCACUUAUAAGAAAAUUGAUGGUUUAUGAAAGUAACUACUUGAAUUUAAAUCCCAAAAAAGAAAAAGGUAUUUCUUUUCAGGUUGAAAUGGAGGCUCCUGUCACCAAACCCAAUGAGGAUGGUGAUCCAUAUGUAUAGUGGACAAUUCUUUUGUAUUUAUUGCAAAAAUUUCAAUAAGAUAUUGAAAAAAAGAAAGAACUUUAACAAACCAAAGAAAACUUCUACAUCAGUUGCUCUAACAGCUCGAAAAGGUUCCUCUAACCCUAAUCCUAAAUUGAUUUAUAUUAACAAGCUUAAGGGUAUUCGAUGUAGAGAAUGUGGAGGCAUAGGGCACAUACAAGCACAAUGUGCUAACACUCUCAUGAAAAAGAAAGCAAUGAUUCAAAUGAUAGCAUUGAUGAAGAGGAUCUUGUUGGAGGACUUAUUGUCUAUGAUAAUGUGUCAAAACAUACUUACUAAUAAUAAUGAAUAGGAAUUAAACAUCCGAGGAGCAUCCACAUCUAAAGUCUUGCAUAGAGCUCCUUGCAAAGAAAACACUAAUUGCCAUCUUGACACAAUUGUGCAACAUGGUAACAAGAAUAAUGAUUCAGAUAGUGACAUUAGUGAUAUUGAUAUAAAUGACAACGAAAGUUUUUCAUGAAAGCUACAAAAUGAAGUUGGGAUGAUCCUUCUAUUCCGGAUUGUAUGUUUGUGCAUAAGGAUCAUACCUCCUCUGAGGCAUGCCUGGAAAUCCUCCAACCGCUGCCAAAUUGUUGUGCGUUGGCAGCCAUAUUUGAUAUCAGCUCCCUUGCUUGAGUAGGGGUCUUGUUCACCAACACGCCUCCACUAGCAGCAUCUAUCAUACUCCUAUCCAUCAAUGACAGUCCUUCGUAAAAAUAUUGAAUAAGAAGUUGAUCAGAAAUCUGAUGCUGAGGACAGCUGGCACACAAUUGUUUGAAUCGCUCUCAAUACUCAUACAAAGUCUCCCCAGGAAGUUGUCUGAUCCCACAAAUGUCUUUUCUGAUGUUAGCAGCUCUUGAAGCAGGAAAGUACUUCUCGAGGAAUUGCUUCUUCAAACCAUUCCACGUUGUAAUUGAUCCAGGAGGCAAGUAGUACAACCAGUCUUUAGCUAGUCCAUCUAAAGAGAAAGGAAAAGCACGCAACUUAAUCUGCUCUUCAGUCACGCCUUGUGGUCUCAUACUUGAACAUACAACAUGAAACUCCUUGAGAUGUUUAUGAGGAUCUUCAUCUGCAAAACCAUGAAACUUGGGUAAUAAAUGAAUAAGACCAGACUUUAAUUCAAAAUUUACCUCCAAGUCUACAUAUUGAAUGCAGAGUGGUUGCUGAUUCAAGUCUAGUUCAGCUAACUCUCUAAGAGUUCUUUCUACAGGUGCAGCUCUAUCCAUCACUUGUUCUUCUGAAUCGCUAGAUGAUUCAACCAAAUCAGGCACCGUAUCUGUUUCAGAAAGCAAAGGCGACGAGGAUCGUUGCUUAGCUCGCUUUGUCUGCUGUCUCAGCUGGCGAGCUGUCUUCUCAAUUUCAGGAUUAAACAAAAGUGUACUUGUACGAGAAGAACGAAUCACACACCAAGUAAAACGUAAAAAAGGAUUAAAUAAAUGACACCAAUCCCCGGCAACGGCGCCAAAAUUUGAUGGUUGUCGAAGCCAACAAAAAUAAAUUUCUACUCUAAAUAAAUUGUGUAUAGUGAUUAAGCAGGGCCGUGUCCACAGAGAUCGGUAAUUAUUUAAAUCCUUUUGAAACGUAAAACGUAAAAUGGGGGAAUUGUUGACAAUAAUAGAAAUCAAAUUAAAAUAACCAGAAUGCAAAUUAAAGUUGUAAUUCAAAUUAGAGAAAGCUCUGGUUGAAGGAAUUAACUUAGCUUGAUUCGACUACUGAUCAUUGAUUCAAAUAUAGAUUAUUAUUACUUAUGAAUAGACCGGUUAUAGCUACUGAGACCCUCUAAUAGCCAAUCUCUCCUUAACUAGUCGAUAACCAAGGUACGACCGUUGGUUAUUUCCCUAAUCAAUAGACAACCCUAGAUACGAUCAGAGGAUUUAAUCAAUUGACAGCCUGAAAAACCAGAGAGACCCAAAUCCUAAUCAACACAUAUGAUGAUUCAUUUAAAUUAGAUUGUUUAUUCUCACAACACAACUCUCUGCUAUGUUAUUUGUCACAAACAUUAAAUUCUUCAUACGAUGAAUCCUUUAAUUGACAAUAGAUUAAGUUGAUAAUUAAAUAGUGGCCAAUUACCUAAUUAACAAACAUAAUCAUGAAACUAAUUCAGAGAAUAAACAAAUACCCAAAAAGUAAUAAAACAAUUAAAGCAUAAGAAAGAUCUCACAGUAGUGAUGAAUCAAAGCUUCAUUAACCUUCAACCAGAAAAAUAAGUUUAGUUCUUCAUAGAGAGAAGAGAAAAAUUAGAUCUAGGGUUUCUUUCUUUUCUCCAAUCCAAAUCCCCAUUUUUCACAAUAGAUUCCUCCUUAAAUACCCUCUCUCUCUUCUCUUUUAGAGUUCUAUUUAAAAUAAAAUACUAAUAUCUAAAAUAUUAAAUUCGGAAUUACAAAAAUAACCAAAAAUACAAAACACGUUAAACUAAAAACUGCAGGUCUGUAGUUGACAGCACGCGUCCACGCCUUAUCAACAAAGUUCUUCUGAUGCUCAUAAUUUCUCCAAGAGAACAAUCAUCUUUAAACAUCAUCUUAUAGCUCAAUUUUAUCACAAAUCAAUAGAAUUGCACCUACAAAAGUAAAACAAAAGUAAAUCAUUAUUAUUAAGUGCAAAACAUCGAUAUUAAGGUAAGUAAAUAAUGCAAAACUAGUGCAUAAAUUGCACUCUAACACUGCCUCUGUUGCAGCAACAAAUUCUUCCUCAAUAGAUGACAAAGCUACUAUGUGCUGUAGAGUAACUUUCCAACUUAUGAGACAACUAUCUAACAUAAAUAGAUAUCCUGAGAUAGAUUUUCUUCUGUCCAAGUCACCUGCAAAAUCAGAGUCAACAUACCCUCUGACUUCACAAACAUCAUGCUUGGAUUUACCAUACAUCAAACCAUGAUCUAAGGUGCCCUUCAGGUACCUCAUGACCCAUUUCACAACAUCCCAGUGAAGCUUACCAGGGUUACUCAUAAAUCUGCUCACAACACUUACUGCAUAAGUUAUGUCUGCUCUGGUGCAAACCAUUGCAUACAUCAAGCUUCAUACAGCUUGUGAGUAUGGUAUAUAAGCCAUCUUUACCUCCUCAACAUCUGAUGUUGGAGACAUGUUUUCAGAGAGUUUGAAUUGAGCUCUCAGAGGUGUCAGUACUGGUUUCGAGUCCAUCAUCUGAAAUCUUUCCAGCACUUUGCUGAUAUACCUUGACUGACUUAGAAAUAAGGUACCAGCUGCUCUAUCUCUAACAAUGUCUAUCCCAAGAAUCCUUUUGGCACUGCCAAGAUCUUUCAUUUCAAGUUCCCCCUUCAGCAAGUUCUUGAGUUUUUUAAUAUCACUAAGAUUUGUACCAGCAAUGAGUAUGUCAUCAACAUACAAUAGAAGAUACACUGCUCUACCUGAGUUUCCACUUGAGUUUAUAAUCUCAUGAUAGACACAACUAUCAUACUUGCUCCUGUGAUAGCAAUUGGAGAUCAUAAACUGAUCAAAUCUCUUAUACCAUUACCUAGGAGAUUGUUUCAGGUUAUAAAAAGACCUUUUAAGAAGACACGCAUAAUCCUCAUGUCCCUUUUCUUCAAAACCUUCAGGCUGAGACAUUAGUAUCUUUUCUUCAAGGUUGCCAUGUAGGAAGGCAGUCUUUACAUCCAUUUGUUCAAGCUCUAGCUCAAACAAAGCCACCAUAGCAAGCAGGAUUCUGAUUGAACUGUGUUUUACCACUGGUGAGAAGAUUUCAUUGAAAUCAAUCCCCUCAUUUUGUGUGAACCCUCUUGCCACCAGUCUUGCCUUAUAUCUUGAGUCUUCAACACCUGGAAUGCCCUCCUUUUUCUUGAAUAUCCACUUGCAGCUGACAAUCUUCCUAUUCCCUGGAUUUGGGACCAAAAUCUAAGUCUGAUUCCUUAUCAGAGAAUCCAUUUCCUCCCUCAUAGCUUUAAUCCAGUUUCUGUUGUUCUUGUGUUAGAGUGCAAUUUAUGCACUAGUUUUGCAUUGUUUACUUCCCUUAAUAUCGAUGUUUUGCACUUAAUAAUAAUGUUUUACUUGUGUUUUACUUUUGUAGGUGCAAUUCUAUUGAUUGGUGAUAAAAUUGAGCUAAAAGAUGAUGUUUAAGGAGGAUUGUUCUCUUGGAGAAAUUAUGAGCGUCAGAAGAACUUUGUUGAUAAGGCGUGGGCGCGUGCUGUCAACUGCGGACCUGCAGUUUUUAGUUUAACGUGUUUUGUAUUUUUGGUUAUUUUUGUAAUUACGAAUUUAAUAUUUCAGAUAUUAAUAUUUUAUUUUAAAUAGAAUUCUAAAAGAGAAGAGAGAGAGAGAGUAUUUAAGGGAGGAAUCUAUUGUGAAAAAGGGGAUUUUGGAUUGGAGAAAAAGAAACCCUAGAUCUAAUUUUUCUCUUCUCUCUAUGAGGAACUAAACCCAUUUUUCUGGUUGAAGGUUAAUGAAGCUUUGAUUCAUCACUACUGUGAGAUCUUUCUUGUGCUUUAAUUGUUUUAUUACUUUUUGGGUAUUUGUUUAUUCUCUGAAUUAUUUUCAUGAUUAUGUUUGUUAAUUAGGUAAUUGGCCACUAUUUAAUUAUCAACUUAAUCUAUUGUCAAUUAAAGGAUUCAUCGUAUGAAGAAUUUAAUGUUUGUGACAAAUAACAUAGCAGAGAGUUGUGUUGUGAGAAUAAACAAUCUAAUUUAAAUGAAUCAUCAUAUGUGUUGAUUAGGAUUUGGGUCUCUCUGGUUUUUCAGGCUGUCAAUUGAUUAAAUCCUAUGAUCGUAUCUAGGGUUGUCUAUUGAUUAGGGAAAUAACCAAUGGUCGUACCUUGGUUAUCGACUAGUUAAGGAGAGAUUGGCUAUUAGAGGGUCUCAGUAGCUAUAACCGGUCUAUUCAUAAGUAAUAAUAAUCUAUAUUUGAAUCAAUGACCAGUAGUCGAAUCAAGCUGAGUUAAUUCCUUCAACCAGAGCUUUCUCCAAUUUGAAUCACAACUUUAAUUUACAUUCUCGUUAUUUUAAUUUGAUUUUUAUUAUUGUCAACAAUUCCCCCAUUUUACGUUUUACGUUUCAAAAGGAUUUAAAUAAUUACCGAUCUCUGUGGACACGACCCUGCUCAAUCACUAUACACAAUUUAUUUAGAGUAGGAAUUUAUUUUUGUUGGCUUCGACACCCAUCAUCUUGCUAUUCAUUGCUUCUCUAUAGCUGUUAGGUUCUUCAAUUGUAACACUUCUGCACUCAUCAAGGCAUAUGCAACCAUAUCUGCAUAUGCAUAUCUUGUUGGAGGUCUGGUAUGUCUUCUUUCUCUAUCUCUAGCUAACUGAUAUUGUUGUAAGUCAGUUGCUUGUGGUACUUCACCUUCUGUCACUUCUGCAUCUUGAGACUCAGCUUCAACAACUUCUAGUUGUAUUUCAUCUUUAUAGUCUUUAGACAACUCUACCUCAAUCUUUUCACCUUGAUCAGUUUCUGUGGUGGCUUGUGUGUCACUUGUACUAAUGUCAUUAGCUGAAGUGGCUUGAUCAGAGUUGUUGAUCAUAGCCACUUCAUUAAACUGGACAUCUCUACUAAUCAGACACUUAUUAGCCCCUCUACACCAGACCCUGUAGCCUUUGACCCCAUCUGGAUAACCAACAAAUACUCAUUUUAUAGCUCUUGCAUCAAGCUUCCAUUGUCUGACAUGGACAUAAGCAGGGCAUCCAAAUACCUUCAGGUGUUCAUAUUUUCCAGGUCUUCCUGACCAGAGUUCUUCAGGAGUUUUGAAGCCAAUUGCAGCAGAUGGACUUUUGUUUACUAGGAACAUGGCUGUAGAUACAGCUUCUGCCCAAAGAUUCCUAGGAAGCUUAGAGUUUAUCAGCAAACAUCUUAUCUUGUCAAUAAGUGUUCUGUUCAUCCUCUCAACUAAACCAUUUUGCUGAGAGGUGAAUCUUACUGUUUUGUGCCUCCUAAUUCCCUAUUUCUGGCAGUAUUGCUCAAACUCCUUAUUACAGAAUUCAAGUCCAUUGUCUGUUCUUAAGCAUUUCACCUUGAAACCAGAUUGAGUCUCCACCAAAGUCUUCCAAAUCUUGAACUUCUCUAAGGCUUGGUAUUUGGUCUUCAGUAUGUGGAACCAUACUUUCCUAGAGUAGUCAUCUAUUACUGACAUAAAAUACCUUCCCCCACUCAAGGAUGGUACUUGGGCAGGCCCCCACAAAUCAGCAUGUACAUAAUUUAAUGGUUGUUUAGAUACAUGCAUGCCCUUUGUGAAUUUGGACCUGUGUGCUUUGCCAAAGAUGCAGUUUUUACAGAAAUCUAACUCAUCUAUAUUAUCACCACAUAGCAGCCCUUGCUUACUCAGCUCUUGCAUUCCUCUAAUACUCAUAUGGCCUAGUCUAAGGUGCCAUAACAUGGUUCUAUUAACAUUAGAAAUAGCAGGCAUUGCAACUGACCCAGGCACUGAUGACCCUUCCAACACAUACAGGCCAUUCUUCGUGACUCCUCUCAUUAUCAUCUCAAUCCCCUUCAUAAUCUUUAAACCACUAUUUUCAUAUUUGAAGCUAUAUCCCAUACUAUCUAGCAUGCCUAAAGAGAUCAGGUUCCUCUUUAGCCUAGGUGCAUGCCUGACAUCACUUAGAGUUUGGAGAGUCCCAUCGAACAUCUCUAUUUUCACAGAUCUCAUACCCACAAUCUUACAAACAUUAUUGUUACCCAUCAACACUCUACCACCAUCCAUAGGUUUAUAUGUAUGGAAAAUGUUUUUAUCAGGACACAAAUGAAAUGAACAACCUGAAUCAAGAACCCAAUGACCUUUGAUAUUGUUGUUUGAAGCCACCAACAUAUCAGCACUAUGGUAUCCAUCAUCAGAGGAGUCAUCUGAGGCCACUGCUGUAUCACUAGUUCUUUCUUUUUCAUCCUUCUUUUUCUCAGCACAAUCUCUGAUGUAGUGACCUUGUUUCUUGCAGUAGAAACACAUUCUUUUCUUCAUUUUUUCUUUUACAGAUGCAUCAUCCCUUUUAGCUUGACUCUUGUUCUUCUUCUUCUGAUUUUUCUUUUCUGUUCUGGCAAAUAAACCUUCACCAUUACUAACUUCAUGCCCAUUAUUCUUCUGGAUCUCCUUAGAGCUCAAAGAGGCUUUCACAUCCUCUAGCGUUAGAGUGGUUCUUCCAUACAACAUAGUGUCUACAAAUCCUUCAUAGAUUUUAGGCAAUGAACUCAGUAGAAAGAAAGCUUUAUCCUCAUCAAUGAUUUUCACAUUUUCCACUCCUUCAAGAUAAAGAAUGAUCUUGUUGAAGUUGUCAAUGUAUUCUUGAAUCGAGACCCCUUUUCUCAUAGAAAAGGUGUAUAGUCUGUUCUUCAAGAACAAUCGAUGUGCCAUAGACUUUUUCAUACACAGAGCCUCCACCUUGUUCCAGAUACCAAGGGCAGUCUUCUCUUCAGAAAUCUCCCUUAGAAUUGAGUCACUGAGACUCAAAAUCAAGGUACUGUGAGCCUUGUUAUGUAUCUGUCUUUUCUUCUCAUCAGAGACUGAACUUGAAGCAUCCCCAUGAUCAUCUUCUUCCAGAGCUGAUUUGAGACCUUGAUGAACAAGGAGAGCCAUCAUCUUCAUCUUCCAAAGUGAAAAGUCACCACCAAUGGUGAACCUUUCAAUAUCAGGUUUUGGAAGAGACAUGUUCUUAAACCACCAAUGGCUCUGAUACCAGUUGUUAUAGCCCUAUUAACGUAUUGAAUCUAGAAAGAACUAAUCAAAGCAAGUUAAUCAAGAAAGAAACAGAAAAGAACUUGAACAGAAUACUGUUUCAAGCACACAACUUGUAGAAAGAAAAAACUGCUCUUUUAUUGAUCUCCAUAAUCGAAUUACAAGCUAAUCCUUUAGAAGCAAUUACAAGGAUCACCAAGAACCAAAUAACUAGCAAAAUGACCAAGGAAUGAAGAAGAUUACAAUCUAAUAUCAGAGGCUAAAACACACGUAUUUAUAUUAUGGUAUUUCUGGAAAGCCAUAACGAACUCAUAAUGAAUUCUGCCACAUCAACUUUAAUAUUUCAACUAGACCCUUCCAACUGAAGUCGAUAUGCACAAUGCCCCCAGACUUCUUCAAAUCUUUCAUUUAAACCCAAUGACCAGCAGUUGACCAGCAGCUUAUUUCCUCACAAACCUCAACAUCUUGUUGAAAAAACUUACGGAUCCCAUCAAUGGCCUGAUCCAAAAUGCUUGUUGGGAUUCCAUGAUUGAUCACUUGAAAGAAACCCCACUUCUCACAAGCACUUCUAAUUUGGUCAAUUACCUGAGAACGCAAACUUGAAUCCUUGUGUAUUCUUUGAAGGUCUAUGAUAGGGAUGCUGAUUUCGGGGUCCUUGCAGAUUGGCUUAUCAUCAAACUUAUGUUUAGUGUGAUGAUCUUGAAUGAUGAUCUGUGGAAUGGUUGUGAUCCCAGCAUCUACGAGUCCCUUAACACCAGCUUUCGUGUCAUCAAAAGCUUUCAACUCGCUAACUCUGUCACAAGUAAUGCUUCCCAUUGCUUGGUGAAUUAUCUUUUACCUGGUGAAUUAUGAAGUACAAAUGCUGACUUGCGGGUGAUUGCUUUUGGUAUAUGCCGUUUAUAUGAAUAUGAUUGCUAGCUUGCCACGUGCAACAUGUUGAAAUAUAAUGUUAGCAUGAAGAUAUGGAAAUUUGUAAAUUUUGAUUCUGCGUUAUUUAUCAUGAUUAAAUUAAUUAUAAAUUAUCAAUAAUAGUCAAUUCCGGGGACCACCAACUACUGGGUGGCACAUCACAAUAAUAAAUUAUCAAUAAUAGUCAAUUCUGCAUUAUUUAAUAUUUAUGUGGAUAAAAUUUCAAUUAGCUACACUACAUUGUUGUUUGAUAGUUAACGUUUCACUUUCUCCAUUUGUAAAAAUUAUUAUGGACUUAUAGUGUGGCUUAAAAGCUAGAUCUUAAAUGAAAAGAAAGCUUUAAUGGCGAAAUAAAAAUUUAAAUAAAUGAAAAAGAGAUUAAAGGUUAACCUAAUGUUAGCAAAAAUAAUUGUAAAAUAUACAUGUUUUAUCAUGUUAAUUGAUGUUUUUCCAGUAUGCACAUAAAAAAGAUCUAUUUUACAAUUGUUUCUGUUGGCGUUCGGGCAGAUUUUUUUUAGUCUAAUUAAGUAUAUCAUAAGUUAAUAAUAGUGCGUAUUUUAACUUUAAUAAAUUUGGCCACUUAGAUUUUUAAUUUUGACUCCUUCCCUAAUCAAUCAAGAAAAAGAAUGCUUUUCUCCAUAAAAAUUAAAAUAGAAAAUUUAGCAAGGACAUAACUGCGGAGAUGUUUGAUUCUGGAUUUAUAUAUCAAAGCAACAUCAAAAUUAUAAUACUUCCUUGUUACCAAGAAGAGAUAUAUCCAAGAGCACUAGCCUUAUAAAGCCUUAACAAUACUAAACUACCCACAUGGAAUCUAAUGCGUACAUGCAAUGCUUUCUAAAGUGAAACUGUCGCUUGAAAAUAGAAUUCAUGUUCAGCAGCCUCUCUCUAUCCGAGCUCCAAUUUUAUAACAAGGCAGCUAAAUAAGAUGAUUUAGAUGGCAUCGGCAUCUGUAGUAUCGUUUGUCUGUAGUCCCUCAUUAUCUACGAUCUGAUCGCUCCCUAUAGUAUUGUUUGUCUGUAGUCCCUCAUUAUCUACGAUCUGAUCGCUCCCUAUAGUAUUGUUUGUCUGUAGUCCCUCAUUAUCUACGCCCUGAUCGCUCCCUAUAAUAUUGUUUGUCUGUAGUCCCUCAUUAUCUACGCUCUGAUCGCUCCCUAUGUAGAGAAUCAACAAGAGCAAAUUGUAGCACACGUUCACAGCACUAAUAACUGUUAAACUCUUAUAGUACUUGUCAAGCCUACUAUCAUCCAAGGUUUCAGCAAACUCGCCUUUGUUUGCCAAAAUGAAAAAGAUGUUAAAAAUGCUUCCUAUUCCGACGAAAAAAGAACUUAUUGCUGAUACAUGGUACUCCAUCCGUUCAGGAAAAUGAGAGCUCGAGUAUUCAUCACAUCCAUGCAAAGCAAGCCCUUCCAUAAGACCCAAUAGACAGAAUUGUGGAACAAGCCAAAACAUGAUCAUAUUUUCCAAUUGUUUGCUCUUUUCCAACCUGCGAACCUCAACCUGCCAUGCCACUACACAGCAAACUGUAGACAUCACCAUUCCAAUGAAUGUUCUCAAUACUUGAGCUUGUCUCUGCUUUGUUUCCGGAACAAAUUUGGAAAUUAAUUUUUUCGACAGAUAAGAGAUCGUCGCACGAAUUAUGGCUUCAAAAGUAAGUAGAAAGAUUAAGUAACGUUCAGAAAUCAUUUUGGCUCCCUGCUUAGGAAAAAAUGUAUUUCCCGCUGACAGAACCAAUCCAAACACAAUGAAGCUAGACCACAGUGGCAACAAUUUAAGAAGAGAUUUUAACUCCCUGACCUGAGCCACAGUGCAAAGUGUGCCUGCCUCUUCUUGUUCUUUAGAAGUGCUUGAUGUCUCUAUAAUUGCCGCUUUGUCUAUCCACCUACAAUUCAAAGAAUUAGUUUAUUGGUAGUUUUUUAGGAAAAUAGAAAGCGACAGCUCAUGGUUUGGCAAAAUGAUCACACAGACGCUUUUAUAAAUACGCCCUUUUGGACAAAUCUUGGAGGUCGGUGUGACUAUUCCCGAACACAAAAGGGUAUUAAUGUGUCCAUAAAGAGGUUUAUAUAAGUAUUAAUAAAAAUAAGAGGGUCUCCCCGACAAUUUUGCCAGACCACGGGCCGGGUGUGGGUGUAUACAUGUUAGGCAUAUACCUGAGUAAUUUGAUUCUGGGUGACAAGUGUAAUACGUUUCCCUCAUCAUUACUGAAGAACUGCUCUGGAGAAAGAGGAUAAUUGAGAUGCUUUUUCUUGAGGGAGGUUUUAACAACGCGGAUUAUAGCAAAACGGUCAAUAGGAGGUAUUUCUGUAUUAUGAUAAAAGGGAAUACCUAAUAACAGGAGGAUCAAACUGCCCCCCAUAAGCAACAAUGUAAACAUGAAAGUCUUCUUCCAUGUCUUAAUAUUAUUUGCGUAGAAUGCCGCAGCUGUACCACAGCACCAGGCAAACCGCCGCCACACUCUUUUCUGAGCCAUUACUUGAUCCUCAUUUGAAUUUUCGGUUCUCCCUCCUUCACCAUGUUGUCUUAAUUGAUAGGCAAGAAAUGGUCCCAAAAGAGGAGCCGCUCCAACUUCACCCACUGCUAACAGGAUAAUUCCUAUCAUGUUGAGUAGCUCAAAGUUGGUUUCUGAAAAUUCUCUGGACGCUGUACAGAACAAUAGCCCCAAUGCCUGAAACAAAAAUUGUUGGAACUAAUUGUAUAGCGUAACAUUAUGAUCCUAGAAAUGCUUUUCUUAAUCAUUAUUAUAAUGAGAGUGAAGCCAAAAUGAAUUAAUGUCACAUUAAUUAUAACUUAUCUAUUGAGAUCUCUAUCAUUAUAUUUAUAGGGGUAAGGCUCAUAAUAUCAUCGUAUUACGGGUGUGUGUGUAUAUAUAUAUAUAUUUUAAUAUGCCGUGAAAUUUAACAUUUACUGCAAAAUAAUAAUUUUUUAAUUUAGCCCAAAGUACUACAAAGUCCUGGGUCCGCCCCUGAAUAUAUAUAUUGCUUGCAAACCUAGGAUCAUAACAUAUGUUUUAAUUUCGUCUCUGUUUAGAAGUUUAGCAAAUUCAAAACAUAUUAACUUUCAAGGAUGUAGGAGACAGUUGAAAAAAUGAGGAUUCUGAGAGGACGAAUAGCAUAACACGAAAUCCAGGCGGCAACAACUGUAAGAGUUGCUAAUAUUACAUCCUGAAUACUCGUAAAUAUUGCAGCUUUUUGAAAUGUGAAUACUUUUGAAUAUUCGGAGUCGGAGAAGUAAGUUAUCAAGACGCCCACUAUAGCCAAGUCUACCAGUUUGCGGCUUAUCAACAAACCUGGAAUCAAAAUAAUCAUUAGAAAAAAUGUUCGUGCUCACUAAAAAAAGCAUACACGUGACGACUGCAAGAACAAUGUGAGAGAACUAUUGUCAUGUUUUUAUAAUUUAGCCCAACCUAAUCAAAAAUCUUAAAUACACCUCUCUUAACUGAAAUUAUUUUAGGGGAUUAUCUAUUUAGGAAUCUCAAAUUUCAUGAGCUCUUAAUACACACUCUGUAGUGUUUUUGAGUGACAGAUUAUUGUACAAUCAACUCGAAACACUUGCCAAGAUCGCAAAUCAAACAACCAAGAUGUAACAAGAACCAACCCAGAACAAAUCACAGAGAACUAGGACUAUAGGAACUUAGCAGUAAAACAAGGAAAUUAACGUGGUUCAGCUAGCUUCCACUAGCUUACAUCCGCGGGAAAACCAGGACCAAGUUUAUUGAUUUAUCAACCACAAUUACAGAGAAUCUCAAGAGCUGAUUACAGAGCUUUUCCAAGAAGCUUUCUCCUAAAACUUCUCUACCCACAUUAGCUCUCACACAUACGCUCCUGUUGCAACUAGAACCAGCUGUUUAUAACAGCUUCUUCAACGAACCAGGAUGAGCCCAGAAACUCACAUGAUUGGCAUGCGUGAUAAUAGACUCAUAACGAUCUUUCAAGGGAUGGCAAAACCCCGGGCCGGGUCCGGGUAUUGCAAUGACCGGACCCUGCCCGGAUGCAACCGGUCCAGGUUAGGGUCGGGUUUUAAUUCGGGUACCCAAAUUUUAUAUUUUUUUAAUAUUAUAUGUGUAUAUAUUUUAUAUUUUUUGGUAAUUUUAUAAGUUUUAAAUUUAUUUCAAUAAAAUUUGACAUGAAAAUAUAAACUUUAAGUGUUUAAAACUUUAUAUAUGUAUAAUAAAUGAGUCAAAUAAAUAUAAAUAUUUAAAAUAAUAUAUAUUUUAUAAUUUUUUUAAUAAAAUCCGGGUUCUGGGUUUAUCAAGUGAUGCCCAAUACCGACCCGACUUCAUACCCGGGCCGGGUAAUACCCGGCUCACAACGCACGGGUACGGUCCGGGUCCGGACCGAGUGGGUAUUUUUUGCCACCUCUAGAUCUUUGAAAACAACUUAUUCGAGCACGUGAUUCUCUCGUCCAUUACUUAAACCAAAACGACAUUCAGACAAGUCGUCCCAGUGAUGAGAGAAUGCUGCUCUUCAAAACGCAACACCAGCUGGUUGUUUCAAUAUCCUGAUUUGCUUCACAACACAACACACACACAUACGUAUACGUACAUACAUACACGUACGUACAUACAUCAUCAUGUUGUUAAAGUAAUGAUGUUAGUAAAAUACAAAAAGAAUAUAGUUUUAAAUACAUUGGAGAUUUUGUCUUUUUUGUACUUUACUAACAUCGUCAUUAACAGAAUGAGGAUACCUUUAUUAAAGAAUGAUUAUAUAUAGAUAGUUUUUUUUUUCUCGUGAGCGUUCUCACAUAUUUUUUUAUACGUACACACUAUUAAAUUGUAUGGUUUAAUAAAAUUAGUAUAGACAAUUAAACUACAUGAUUUUGUAGUGUAUUAAAAAUUAAUUCUAUUAAACCAUACAAUUUAAUAAUGUGUCUGUAUUAAAAAAAAAACCAUACAUAUGUAUACAGGUUUAUAUUCUAAAUAAAUACAUUUUUAAAAGAUACGAAUACCUAAGGCCCCACGUGCAAAAUUACCUGACAUAAAUGCAGCAGCCUUACAAAAACAGACGUAAUAUCGUACCCAAGUCAUGAACCUGCUUUGAACCUUCAACAACCGAGAAAAUGGAAACAUUGUAGUUUCUGAAACUGCUUCUUUUAUCAGCAAAUACUUCUACUUGUGACUUGUGAAUCCCGAGACGAUGAAGAUUUUGUAAUUAUACCAAAGUUUUCGCUAGUCUUCUAAAAAGGUCGUUUAUUCAAAUUAAAAAAUAAUAAGUCGCACUUCAAGACCACCUAUUGGUCACAUAAGUCCUUUUUUUCUUAUUUUUAGGGUUCUAAAACGUUAGUUUAUUCAAAUUAAAAAAUAAUAAGUCGCACUUCAAGACCACCUAUUGGUCACAUAGGUCUUUUUUUUCUUCUUGUUUUUAGUCUUCUAAAAAGUUAGUUUAUUCAAAUUAAAAAAUAAUAAGUCGCACUUCAAGACCACCUAUUGGUCACUUCAAGACCGCCUAUUCGUCACAUAAGUCUUUUUUUUUUUUUUCUUGUAACUAAAGGAUCCAGCUACGGUGCAACAGGUGCACCGUGCCCCUCUUUUUCCUUUUUUGACAGCACCCCUUACUUUCUUCUGUAUUUACAGUUUAUUAAAGUAAUUUCUUUUUCCUCUUUCUUUCACCCCUCAUCUUUACAAUCUUCAAUUUUUUUCCAUUUUGAAUUAAACCUAUAAUCAACCAACUGCAAGCAAUAAGAAAGAAGUUGACAAGCUAUUUCUUUAUCACCUUAGGAUUCAUUUGCUCGAUAAUACAUAAGUAAUAAUGAAUUGAAGUUUUUAUAUAAAAAAAUCACAUAGAUGUAAUAUUUUUACACACACUAUUUAUCAUCUACAAUGAUUUUUUUGUCUUUUACUAUAUAUAUUCUUCCCCUUUCUCCUCCGUAUGCCUUUCCAUUUUCUCUUUGAAUAAUCUAACCUAAGGCUUUCUAAUAAUUGGUUUAUUGUUAUUAUUUUUAUAAGUAAACCUUCUCUUUAUUAUGUCAAUAGGUUUAUUUUUUCAAGAAAAAAAAUUCGUAAAUGACCAAAAGUGAGAGCAUUAAUAAAAAUUCAAAACCUAUCUUAAUUUUUGUUGUCUUUGUUGAUGCAUCUCGCAUGUUUGAUCUCUUAAUUAUAACUUGUGAGAGUAAAUACUGUAAUACAAUGAUAAUAAAUUGAUGAUUAGUAAUUCUUACUAAGAGUAUUCAGAGACAAAGAAGUUGGUGUAAAAUUUUAUAAACUUUGACUUUUCUAAAUUUUCACUAAACAAUAGGGAUUGCAUUAUUAAUAACUAAAUAAACACAUCCAUAACCUUGAAACUACAUUUGUGUUAGAUCCAAUGGUGACAGCACAAAAAGACAGAAAGAGGGGUAUGGUGCACCCCUUGCACUGUAGCUGAAUCCUUUAGUUACAAAAUAAUGACUUACUGUACAGCUCAAUAAUUUUAGGUGGUAUGAAACACGUAUGAUGAGACGGUCAUAAUUACACUGUACCAUGAAUGAUCCUCAUUGAGUAUAUAAUCCCUUUCUUUUUUCAAACAAGAUUUAUGCUUUAGUUUUGGGAGGUUUGCUAAGUUCUUUCUUUUUAUAAUGGUUACGGAGAAUGACAAUUUUCUAUUGAAGUUAUUUAUACAUGUAUUUCUUUUUCAGCAUGUAAUACAUUUAGGAAAUGAGUAAUUAUUAAGUACAAACACUUUUAGAUAAACAAUGUUGUACGAACUUAUGUGAUAUUUUUUAGAAAAAAGGAUCUGAACAUCGUUAAGAUUUUAAAAAAUGGUCAUAUAUACUUUGAGUUUUCAAUAAGGGACAUCAAGACACUUUUUGACUAUAGUAUCCUUAAUAGAUAAUAACAAAAAAUAUUGACUUUAAACAUUUUAAUAAAUAUAAAUAAAAUUUAAAUAGUUUGAUAUGUCUAGUAGACUAAUAAUAUUAGAACGUUUCUUAAUAUAUAAAUAAUUUUUAAAAGAUAAAUUAGUAUAUUUAUUUUAAUAAUAUAUUUUUACUUAUUAUAAAAAUUGUAAAUAAAUCUUUAGGUUAGAUAGAUUUUAAAUUUAAUAAAAUACAUGUCAUGUACUAAUAAUAUUAAAACUAUUUUAUAUAAUAUUGAAAAUAAUUUAAAUUUUAAAUUUUAAUAUUAUGUUUCGAUUUAUUUUGAAAUUUAGUUUAAUAUAAUUUAAUGUUGUAAUGUAUUAAAAUAUUUUAAAAAUAUGGAAAUUAUUUUAAAAUGUAUAUAUUGUUACAUUUAUUUUAAUAUUAUACUUCUAUUUAUUAUAAAAUAUUAAAAAUAAUAUUUUAAUUAAAAGGGAGUUUUGAUGUCUUUUACUGAAAAAAUGGAGUGUACAUAAUCAUUUUUUCAAAUUUUCAACGGUGUACAUGUCAUUUUUCUUACUUUUUUAUAAUCAGUUGAAUAAAAAAAAGUCAUCUGGCCACAUAAAUUAUUUCUAAUUUAUAUUUUUAAUCAACAAAUCAUAAUGUGUCACAUCUAUUUGUAUAAGCAUUUAUGAACAUAAAAAAUUAAGUUUAGGCACUAGUCAGGUUGGAAAUCAACCCAUCCAACCCAUGUAUAGUGCUAGUUGGGUGAGUUGGACUUAUCUCGAAGACCCAUUUUCUGUCUUUGAAAUAUCAAUAUGAAAUUAAAAUAAUUAAAAAAUAAUUUAAUUGAAACAACUAAAAAUAGAAUACAAAAUUACAAAUAAUAACUAUCCCCCAAACUUCAUUGUUAAUAAAAAUAAUUAUUUGUAUAGGAUCCUAAUUACACCAUAAAAAGUAAUAGGAUGAAUUCAAGAGUUGGGUUUGAAAAUUUUCAACACCUAGUAAAUAUAGUGCAUUUUCUCCACCCCUAUGAAAUUAGGGGUUGGCUUUCUACUUGAUUUUAAGUAGAGAAAAUGAUCAAAACUACCUUAUUGUUUGUUAAAACUAUAGGGUGAAUUUAAGAGUUGGGUUUGAAAGAUGCAAUAUGUUCAUAUAUAUAUAUAUGAACAUAUUGCAUCUUCACUAUCUUAUCCCCAGAAUUUUUGCACCAAAUCAUGGUAAAAGAAUAAAAAUUCGCAACCCGAAUCAACAAAGUAUUAUCACUAAGUUAUUCUGCAAGCCGCCAAAUUGGAAAAUAUUCCAAAUAAUUAAUUAACCACAGCGACUUGACAGCUUAACUUUUUCCAACGCUGAGAGUCCUUCAUUCUUCCCUAUUGAGGAUUGGUUAUUGUAAACGUCUGUUGGAGUAACAUGGGGAUAGUGCGGAUGAUUUUUUUCACCAUAUUGUCUCGAGCAACUGUUAUUCAUAAAAAAAACUUCCAAUUGAAAUCGUUGAGCCUCGCCUUCUUGACAAGACUCUGUGAUAGGCACUCUUGAACGCGACACUGGUAAUCAGCUGCAUAAACAUAUAAAAGAACACUAUAAUUAAGUUAUAUGAUGGAUUCAUAAUAGUCAAAGUUGUGCAUAACAUCUACUUGCCUGCAUCAUGUAGCCUAAGUUUACAACUAGAGCCCCGGAAACUGGGGUAAUAUCAAACCAUUGAUCUUCACAAAAGACUUGGAGGCCACAAUUCGAUCUUGUAUGAGCAUAGUGACAAAUCCAGGGUCAGAACGUAUUGUUACGCCAAUUGUCAAUUUCGGAUGAGGGCUUUCUGGGUAGUGACUAUUCCUAAUAGUCAUUUCCUCUACAGAACCUGUGUCUUUCAGGUAACUGGGGCCAAACCCUAAAGCUUCAGACAAAAGUUCAAAGAGAGUGAAUUAGCAAUUGGCGUGGUUGGAGAAAAAUCAGUUUUUAAAUUUUUUUUAAAAGAAACUUUUUAGGGUCGAUCUCAUACAAUAUAUAAGAAUUCGUAAUUUAGAAAUUGUACCUUGAAAAUCUGAGAAAAUGAACAAUCUUUGCUUUUUCCACUGAAGUGAAACUAGACUCCCAGAUCACGAUCCGUCACCACCACGCCUGCUAGAUCACAGUCUGUCACCACCAUGCUUGUUAGAUCACGAACUAUCACCAAUGAUCUUUCAGAUUAUGACUUAGGUUUGAUCUGCACUUGACGUGUGAGUGCCUUUAUCACUACCAAUAGCAACUAGUAGGAGAAAAUUUUUCUCUCAAGAUUAGAGAGAAAAAUUCUUUUUCUCUUAUCUGUAUAAUGUGGCCUUAUAUCUUUUCAAGAGAAAAUAAGCCCUUUUAUAUCUUAUCUAGUGGAAACCCUAAGCUCUAUAUUUUCUAUUUUUUAAUUCUAUUAACAUAAGGCCCCUUACACAUAAGCAUAUUAUAUGGAGCCUCUCAGUAAAUAAUAUAUUUAGGCUUUUAACCCAAAUAGCUAGUUAUAUUGCUUAUUAAUCCAGUAGCGGCGUAGUAAUGAGCUAACCCAAGGAUCAUUUAAGAACAUAUAAUAGUGGCUACAAUAAUUAGGCCUGUAAUCAAACUAGCUCAAUUAUUUAAUUCCAAAUCUACUCCACUAAAAGAUUGGAACUGACCUUCAUAAUUGUAUGCUUGAAUAAUAAUUCAUCCCAAGCCACAUUGGUUUCUUUACUGCACAAUCUUUUGUACCACAUCAUUAAUUAAAUCGAUAUCUCAACUGUCCAAUCAAUUUAAUUACAUCUUGUUCCUUGAUUCUUACUGGUUUUCUCUAAUGAUCAUUUUCAACAUACUAAAUAAGUCGACACACUUUGACCAGAGAAUUCUAUGAUUAAGUGCCGAAAACCCAUUAAGAGAUGUGUUGUACAAAUUCUAUAUUGUCAAUCUAUGACUAUAAUACUCAUAAUUGCUCUCAUCAAGAUACUGGGUAAUCUUGACUACAAGUAUGUGUCAUGCCCAUUGGUAAUUCAAAUGGAAUAACAAUUACAAUCAUGAAAUCAUAAUUAACUUAAGAUUAAGAUUACAAUAAAAUCAAUGUCUCUGAGAUCUAAUGAGUCUGACAGUAAUUACAAAGUUAAUUAAAUCUCAUAUGUGAUCAUGUUCAAUGUAGUCUUACUACAUUAAUAAAUUCAUAUAUGAUUAAGACAAAUCAUUCAAUGAAUUCAUUACAGUCUAUACAUAAAUAAAGUACCCAACUUUAUUUAUCAACUACGAAAUAAAUUUAUUUAAUCAUAAGAUAACUUGUAUUUAUGUCUUCUGUGAAUCCACAUGGUGAUUCUUGUGCAAAUUUAUUGAACUCGCAAGUGCACGAAUAUAUUAUAGAAUAGAUUAAUGGUGACGAGUGUCGAUCCCACGAGAAAGUAGAUUUUGAUUAUGUGUAGAAUUAAUUUUCUAUGAGAGUGCUUGGAUUUGUGGUGAAAAUGAUUUGGAAUAUUCUAAACAUUAAAUUAGAAUGGCAGGAAUAAAUUAAAGUGAAAUCUAUUGAAAUGAAGCACUUGGGUAUCUGGAUCUGCAUUAACAUGCACCAUGUGCUAAAUAUUCCUUAGUAAUGUCAAUUAAAUCAUGAGGGGGGUUUCUAUUCCUCAUGAACCACACUCUAAUCAAUAUGGUGCUAAGGGCUUAUCGUGCCAAAUAAUAAUAACCUUGUACUAGGGAGUCGGUUAAACUGGUGCGGUAUCUAGACAAGAUUAUUACUAUUUUUCGACGAAAAGUCAAAACAUCAACAAUAAUUAGAGGGGAAGAGAAAGUAAAUUUACCAAAUAAAGCCCAUGGUACAUGUUGAGACUUCACCAACCCAAGCUUGAAAGAAAAUUAACUACUCAUAAUUGAACUAAGGGUAAAAUGAGAAUUUAUUAAAUACAUAGAAAAUACAAAAUGGAGAAGGAAUUACAGAAAAUAGAGCUCAAAAAUGAAUUCAGGGAUGCCAAAUUAGGGGGGAGCCCCCCUUUAAUAGAUACACUGAGUAAAUCAUGGCCAUCAGAUUAAAAACAUUUUGGACGCUCAAGAUUGCACUACGUCAUCGGUCAACAGUACGCGGCUUGACCACGCGGUUUGGUUGUAAAUAAUCCCGUGUAUAUGCAUGUAUUGUACGCACUAUUUUUUAUCCGCUAACAUGCUGCCACAUCACCGAUCAAUAGUACAUAAGAAUUUUAGUCUAAUAAAAUCGUGACAUCUCAUCAGUCAAUGCCACAUCAUCGGUCAAUGCCACGUCAUCAUUCCAUAUAUGUGAACAGUGUCGUGAAUAGUAACACAGUACCGUAUCUGUGAAUAGUACCGUACAUGUAAACAAUGUCAUUUUUCAUUUUAAACUCCUCCUAAGGUUUUCGACUGUCCUGAUCUCAAAAGUGAUGUCCGUUUUGCUGUAUGAUCUCUCGUUCAUUGUGAAAUGACUAUGAUGCCCCUAAAAUACAUAAAACCAUAAUUAUAAUACAACACACAUAAUUAAAUCACAAGAAACUUAAAUACAUAAAAGUAGAAAUGUUAGUGAAACUUGAAGUGUAAAAUAACGAUUUUCUCCUUCAUAAAUAUAUAUUUUCUAACACUCAACAGUGAUCACAUAAAUACAUAUAAUAUGAUUAAAUGGACUUUAAUCAAAAUAUUAAUGCAAUUAAGAUAUUUGAAUAAAAUACCUCAUUUAUUUUAUUAAUUAGAAAAAUUGUUUAUUACAAUUAAAUAAACACAUGCUUUUAAAGAGCAUAUUUUCCCAACAGGCGUAUCUCAUAAAGCCAACUUCGGUGGUUGGGGUAUCCUGCUGUGCAACGCUGUAUCUCUUACAACCAACUUUUACGACUUGGACAAUUUGUAUUUUACCGAUUGUCCAUUGAAUUAAUUUGUUUUUGCGGAAAAUGAAUAUUAAUAAAAGAUUAAAAUAAAUAAAAUUAUAAAUAAUUAAAAUCACAGAUUGUCCCAGACCACCAAUAAAACCUCUAAAACUAAAAUUAUAAGCUCCUCCGUAAGAUCCACCAUUAUAUUUCUGAUUACCACUAGCAUUGUUUCAAGGAUUAAAAUGGUUUUGAGUUACAUUAGCUAACAAGUUAUGUGUGACAUCACUAGCAAUUUUACCUCUUGUCUGUUCAACUCUAUUCUCCUGAUUUAGCAGUAAAGAGUAAAAUUCAUCAAGACUGAUCUUAUCACCUCCAGCUAACACACUUAUAACUAAAGAUUCAUAAUCAGAUGAAUCUAGUUUAGUCUAAAUAUAUUGAACAAAAUCACUUAACUCAACAGAUUUUCUAGCUAAAGCCAGAUUGUCAGACAAUCUCUUCAUUUUAACAAAGUAAUCAAUCAUAGACAUUUAUCUUUUUUUGAGUGUUUGAAUAUGCAUCUUAAAGGCAUAGGCAUUAUUCUAGCUUGAGAUUGUAAAGUAAACAUACUUGUGAGUGUAUCCAAAAGCUCUUUAGCAACGAAGCAAUAAAUGAUUGGAGCGAGUAGAUUUUGCUGAAUAGAUGACAACAUCCAACUCAAAACUAAUUGAUCUGUCUUCAUCUAGGCUGUGUAUGCUGGAUUGACCUUUCUAUUUUUAGUACUAGUUGAGGACCAACUUCACUGGUGUGAGAAAUUACUCUGGACAAGUUUGAUCACCAUUAAUGAAAUUAUCCAGAUCGUUUCCUUUGAUCGAUGUUAAAACCUGAGUUUGCCAGACAAUGAAAUUAUUUUGAUCUAGCUUAACAUGAUUGAUAAAACUAUAGGAUCCAGAAAAUUGAUUAGAACUCACCAUUGUAGGCUCUGAUAUCAUGAUAGAAUUUGUAAUAUAUAUGUUUGGAAAGCAAGAAAAUUAAGGAGAAAAAGAUAGAAAGAAAAGAGGAAGAAUUUAGAAUAUGUUAAUUGUUCAGUACAUUACAAAUGUGAUUAUAGCCUUUGUAUUUAUAUUGAGUGAAAUGCUUAACUAUAAUUUGUUAUAACUGGAAUACGUGCUAAACAGUUCGUUAGCCAGAAGGCUGAGAUGGCUAACUAAUUAUUCCGCGUCAGCAAGAGCACUCAUGUAUGGUCCUCAUCCUUACUGUUAUUAUCAUACUCUGUAACAGUUCUUCUACAUCUUCUUGCUCUUCAGGACCAAGUGUACUUCGUGGCUCUAUAAUUGCUGCUUUGUCUAUCUAUCUGCAAUUCAAAGAAUUAAUUUAUUGGUCAUUUUUUUAGGAAAAAAGAUAACGAAACAUAGUUGUUUGGUAAAAUAGUCAUGUGAACUCUUUCUUCAAAACAUAUAUAAAAACAAACCUUGGAGAUCAGUAUUGUCUAUGUGAUAAUUUCUAAAAAUAAGAGGUCUACCUGACAAUUUUUUCAAACCAUGGGAUGUUGGUAUAUACUCUUUAAGUAUGUACCUUAGUAAUUUGAUUCUAGUUGACAAGGGUAAUUCAUUUUCAUCAUCAUUACAGGAGAACUGAUCUGCAAAAGAAGGAUAAUUGAGAUGCCUUUUCUUCAGGGCAGCUUUAAAAUGACAGAUUACAGCAAAACCGUGAAUAAGAGGUAAUUGUUUACUAUGAUAAAAGGGAAUACCCAACAGCAACAAGACCAAACUGCUCCCAUAACCAAUAUUGUGAACCUCAAAGUCCUCCGUCAUGUUUCCAGAUUAUUUGCAGGGAAUGUUACAACCACAUUACAACACCAGGCAAGCUGCAGCUAUACUUCUUUUUGAGCCUUUACUUAUUUCUCAUUUGGAUUUUUUGUUCUCCCUUCAUCACCAUGUGCUCUUAAUUGAUCGACAAGACAUGGUCCUAAAAGAGGCCCCAUUCCAAAGUCACCCACUGCUAACAAGAUCAUUCCUAUUACGUUGAGCAGUUCAAAUUUAGUUUCUAAGAAUUUACUGGACGCUGUAUAGUACAAUAGCCUUAAUGCCUCCAACAACAAUAGUCGGAACUAAUUGUAUGGCAUAACAUUAUGAUCCUAAAUAUGCUUCUUAAUCAUUACUAUAGUUAGGAGCGGAACAAAAUUGAGAUUUAGGGGGCCAAGUGUAAUUAAGGCAAUUAUUUCAGGAUUAGAGAGUAUUAGUUAUUUUCUGGGGUUAGGGGAUGGGGUUCACGUUUAUGAAACCACCAUAUAAAGAAAAACAACUAGUUUGAAAGUUGAAAUUACAAAUUUAUAUAGUGUGAGAUUAUUUCAACCUACUAAAAUAUUUGUUAUUUUAAAGGCUAAUGAGCUUGCGGCUUUGAAAAGGUUGGAAUGUUAUUUGGUUGGAGAGGGACUCGGUUUCAACUUUAGCUUGUCUUACAAGUACCAAAUUCAAGCCGCCGUAGCAUCUGCAUAUCAUAUAAUUGAAUUGUUUGAGAUUUAUUCGUGGAAUACACUUUGCUAGUUUACACAUCUAGAGAGAGGGGAUUCAGUGGCUGGUAGUCUUGCAAAUUUGGAGUUAAAUCUUAAUGCUCAUAAUUGGUGGGAUAAUCCUCCUAUUUCAAUUCGUCAGAGUUUGCAUGAGUAUGCUUGGGAUAUCCCUAAAUAUCAUUUCAAAUGAGUGUUUUUGCAUUCUUUCUUCUCCUUCUUUCCUUAAUAAAAUUGAGUAUCAUAAAAACAAAAACUACCAGAAUGCUUAAUAAAUGUAUUUAUUCAAUAAAUUCAUUUAAAAAAUUAAAUUAUUUUAUUUUAUUUUACCAACCAAUUUUUAGUAUUCAAUAUGUCCUUAUUUGAAAUUCACAUAAUUCUUUCAUCUUUCUCUUUCAAGACUUUUAGGCUUUUAAGGCUUUUUACAUUCGUGUCUCCCUAAUAUUCUAUUUUUCACUAUUUCAUAAGCACAUCUUUCUUUAAAAUUGUGGGCAUACUAUAUAAUUUACGUAUGUACGUAAAUUAUAAAUAAAUAGAUUUUUAAACGAUAUGAUUACCUAAGGUGCCAUAAGCAAAAUGUUACCUGAGGUAAAUGCGGCAGCCCUACAAAAACAGAGGUGAUGUCUUACCCGUCUUUUGAACCAAUUCUGAAGCUCCUGAGAACAUGGAAACGCUGUGGCUUCAGAAAUUGCUUAUUUUAUUUGCAAAUAUUUCCACCUGUGAAUCCUGAUUCCUGAUACCGUGGAAAUUUGUGUGGGCUCGAUAUACCACCUUAUUACGUCAAGGUAGUGCAUUCGAACAAUAAAAGUUUAUUAUUUUGAUAGGUUUAGUAGGUUUAACGUGGGACCCCACUUAUUUAAUUAAAAAAUAAUAGAUAUAAAAAGUAAUAGUACUACUUCAUCACCGACUGAAUUAAAAAAUAAUGAAUCUUACUUCAAUUGUCUUUUUUUUUUUAAUGAGAAUUAUUGCUCAUGAUGAUAUUUACAAUCAUAUAUAUACUAAGACUCGUUUACAUCAAUUCUGAUAUAGCACCGCUCAGAUUUUUAACCCUCUCAAAUAUUCGAGGGACGUCAACUCUCAUCCUGGGAGAAAGACUGCCUUCAUUAAGCUCUAGGGCUCCAAAGAAGGAAAUUGAAAUUAAAUCCCAACAAUGCGUUUGCGGAAGCUCGAACCACUUCUCUCACAUUUGUGAGGGAGUGACUCUGACCACUUGGGCUUAGCCCAAGUGGUUUUACUUCAAUUGUCUUUGGGACUUAACUAUCGUGGACAGACCGUGGAAGUCUACCUCCUUAUUUUUAAGUACAAAUUAAAGAAUGAAUUGUACUUACUAACAAGCCGAAAUCAUUUAUUGCACAGCUAAAUAUAUUUUAGAUGGUAUAAACGACCAGCAAUAUAUUGCCAGUUGGGUGCACAUACAAGAUCAUAUUUGGCUUAAGUAUUAUAAAUUAGGAUAAUGCCUAAGAUUUAAACCUAAGUUCGGAGAAUGUCUAAUCACAAAACACAUUUUUUUCUUUAAGGAGAACUAUUGCUUUUUAACUCUCUCAAAUAUUCGAGGGAUGCCAACUCCCCUUUUGAAAAAAAAAACUGUCUUCGCUCAAGCUCUGAAGCUCCAAGAAAGAAAAUUUAAAUUAAACCCCCUACAAUAGGUCUGCAGGGACUCGAACUACUUCGAGCACUUGUGAGAGAGUAGCUCUAACCACUUAGGCCAAGCCCUAGUGGUUCACAAAACACAAUUAUAAACACUAUAAAAUCUAAAAUUGAAAGGAGAAUAAAAGAUUCUACACAUUAAAGUCCUAUGAAAAACUAUAAAAAUUUUAAGGGACUAGCCUACCCGUCUUAGUUAUUAUAAAUAAAAACUACCUUCUAAUCAAAAGAAAAAUCCAGUACAGUGCCUGCAACAACGACAUACACUACCACUAGUACCACUAAACUAUUACCAACGUCACAAAACAACUCAAAUAUGAAUAUACAUCUCAAACAAUCACUGUUAUUCUACAAAAAUAGAGUAAAUCAUCGGCGGUUUAAUUAACAUUUAUUAAGGGCUCAAAUAAUAUUUUACAAAGGCUAUAAAGAGAGAAAAUUUUCCAUUGGGGGACUUUAGUCACUUGAGUCCCUUUAGGGCUUGAGAGUAAAACAAACAGCCAAGACAAUAUAUAAUAACAAAAUGAAUGAUUAGAAGAGUCUAUGAAUAAUAAAGCCUCGUAAGCAUUGUGGAAAAUUUACUGGGAUAUUUAUCCAUUUUCAUUGGCAACAGGUCAAUAAUACAACUGGCAACUUCACUCACAAAAUGCGAAAAUCCAAUUCAAUAACCAGUUAACCACAAAGUAAUGGACUUGCAUGCCACAUUUCAAGUAUAUGAAGCAUAUAUAUUAGAAAAGUUGACAAAACCCAAAUUAUCACUUAAUUAAUUGGCAUUUAACCCCUCUCAAACUACAAGGGGGGAAAAAAGAACUUACAAAUGUGCAUGUGAAGAUUGUUUAUCUGGGCUCAUUUUGGCAAAGUCAUCUUCGUCAAUUCGAUCUGUUUUGAUUUUGGGCUUUCUAAUUAUAUAGCCAGUUUGAGCUUCUAACAUCCCUUUAAAAUUCUUGUGAAGUCCUACUGUUGCAUUUGUAACACUUGCUUUUAAGAAAUUAUUUAAAAAGACAGAAUAAUAUGAUAGAGUUAAUUAAAAUUUAACAUACUUUUUUAAAAUAAAAAAUCUAUCAUUAGGUAAUUUAUUUCUUCAUUGUCUCAAAAUUAUUUGAGUUUGCAUAAGAAAUUUAUUAUAUCAUAAAUUAGGAUUGGUGAUUAUAUAGCCACAAACUCUUGUACAAACUUAUCUUGUACAAAUUGAUUUGACAUUAAUUCAUUGGUUGAAUGAAAACAUAAAAUAAUAAAAAUAAAUCAUGUGGGUCAAGAAAUAUUUAAUUCAACCAAUUUUAUCAUACCACAUCAGUUUAUAUAAAAUAAAUUUAUAGAAGAGUUUAUGGCUAUAUUAUUACUCAUUAGGAUUUAAAGAUGGGAUAGUUCAUAAUUAGCAGGUAUAAAGAUAUUUUAAUCUAGUUAAAUUCAUAAUUGUCCUUCUCUAGCAGUAGAACUAUGUUCACAAAAAAUGCGGAUUUACAAGGAUUUUAAAGGGGUGUGAAAAGCAGUAAUUACUCUUACACGACAUCACCCAAAUAAUCAAUUCAAACGCACUCGGCUAGAUUUGUUCCAAGAUUAGACCUUUUGACACCCCUCAAAAUUCCUCAUAAAACCCCUUGUUAAUAGAAGUUAGUUAAAUAACCAAAGAUAAAUUAAUUCAUUUCUUACUUUAACUAGAAAUCCAAUUAAACAAUUAAAAAAUUUCUAUUAAAUUUUUUUUCACCCAUCCCAUUUCAUAAUUUAUAUUUAUAUUUAUAUUUUAGUUUUUAAUUUUUUUAAAACUUAUAAGAGUUUAGAAUUAUGGAGAUAGAAACUAUAUAAUAAAAAGAAAAUAAUUUAAAUUUUAAGAAAUUUUAGUAUUUUAUAAAUAAAACUUAAAAGAAAUAUUCAUUUAGAGUUGGUAAGAUAAUUGAUUUUAAUAUAUGAAUUUGUAUUUUAUAAAUUAAACUGUGAUAUUUUAAAAAAUAAAUUUAAAAGAAUAUUAUAAGAAUUUUAACGAAGUGUUAAAAACUCCACCCUUAUCUCAAAGAGUUAGUAUGCAAAAGUAAAAACAUAAGCAAUACCCGUUAACACCAUUGGACCUUUGACCUGGUGAUAAAGAACCUAUUGGGGGCACAGGUUCAAGUUUUUGUUUUAUUUAUCCAAAUUGAGUGAAAGUAACAUCAUUGAAUCCUAUAUUACAUAACUGCAAAAUCAUAGAACUAAAAAAUUUCGAAUUAAUUCAAACAAAUAAUACAAGGGCAAUCUAGAAAUCAUAUUAUCUUGAACUAUUACUUUAUCAACUUUAAAUGAAUACUGCAACUUAAGUCCAAAAUCAGUACCAAUAAAUGAGACAUGGACAGCCUUAUUAUGCUGCUCUUGUUCUGUUUUCAGCAUAAAAAGCCAAUUCUGCUGUUCUUAAACUGUUUCUCAACAAGAUGGAACAUGAAGUUGUAUUCAAUGACACAUGGACAUUUCAUGAUUAUAAAAAAAUCUAUUUACUUCAGCUAACCUCAAGGAAAUAAUCUAGUAUUGUAGUCAGUGAUGCAUAGAAUAUAUUAAAUGAGAACAUAUUUUUCCAUAACAACGAAAAAGGAAUUGCUAUUAGAGCAGAGUACAUCAAACGGAAAGAUUACUCACAGUGAACACUGGAACUUGUGUGCCUUGCCUUCAAUUCUUUUCAAUUUAGAUUUGUUCAAGAAUGUGCAAUUGGUAUCAGCAACUUUGGGUUAUAAGAAUAGAGACAGCAAACAACUAUCAAAAAAAAAAAAUGUGGAACUUAGUUUGAAGAAAUAUUGUGGAUCAUAUCAAAUGCCAAAUGUUGGAUAAUCUUUUCCAAAUGUUGGAUAACAAGAAAAGGGAUGCACACAAGACCGCUGACUGAAAACAGAAAUAAUUGGACAAAUAAAGCCCAAACCACAGCUCAUCCUAAUCUUUAUGUUACUAAUGGAAGCUAAAAGCACAUAAGUCAUCAACUAUUUACAUUUUCUGAUAGAUACGGAUGCUUAAUACAUUCAUCAUGAUAUCCAGAAACAAUAAAAUUAAGCUAGUACAAAGAUAUCUAAAUGAAGAUGAUAAUAUCAUAGGCAAAAUAUGGUCCAAUGGAUUAGGAAAAUCAAGCUAAGGUCAUUUUUUUAUACUAAAUGCUUAAUUAAAAAGACAUCAUUAUAUGUUUUAUACAUGCACAAAUUGUCAUUAUUUGAGGCAUGUCUAAUAUUUAGUGGAGUGACAAAUAUACUUGAAAAUUUAUAAAAAUUAUCAAAUAAUAUGUAAGAAAUAUAGUUAUUUUUGUUGUAAUAUUAAUGCAAUAAAUUUUUAUCGUAUCAUAUCGGCAUGUUUAAAGAGGGAAAAAAAAAACUCAGAGACUCAAAAACUCCAAACUUUAAUGUAUAGCUGGCAUUUAUUUGUAGGCUCAAUUGAAGUACAGAAGUCACAAUUCCAAACAACAAACAAGCUAUCAUCACUAAUCCACCAAAUUGGAAAACAUCCUCAAUUAAAUUAACCACCGCGCCUUUCCAGCUUAAGUUUUUCCAACGCUGAUAGUCCUUCUGUUGAGGAUUGGUUAUUGUAAAUAUCUUUUAAAGUAAUUGCAGGAUAGAGCGUAGGAUUUUCUUCGGAUAGCAACUCUUUAAUUGGACCAUAUCGUCUCGAGCAACUGUUGUUCAUAAAAAAACUUCCGAUUGAAAUCCUUGAGCCUUCCUUUUUUGACAACACUCUGUGAUAGGCACUUUUGAACUUGUCAUUGGUGAUUAGCUGCAUAAACACACAAUAAAAAAAUCCACUAUAAUUAAGUUACAUGAUGGAUUAAUAAUAGUCAAAGUGAUACAUAACAUGUACCUGCCUGCAUCAUGUAACCUAAGUUUACAACUAGAGCUCCGGGAACAGGGGUAAUUACGAUCUGUAGUUUCCUAAUUUAACUCAUGUAUGCCCGAGGCUUUUGUUUACCCUAGUUUUUAGUAUAAAAAGAGGCGCCCAUCACAUAAUACGGCGGCAAGGAAUUAUCAUUAGAAAAAUUGGAGAGAAAAAGAAGAAGAAGAUCAUAAUUCAAGGGAACGGCUGCAGCAUCAUUGAAGAAUCCAGCAGAGUUAUUUGGAUUCACUUUUUGCUGUUCUCGACUUAUACCUUUCUUCUUUCUCUAACUGAUCUAAUGUAUUUCAUGAACAAUAUGUUGCUGAUUGUUUAUCUCUUUCAGAAUAUGAACUAAAUUUGCUUGUAUUUGAGUGACAAAUAAUCUAAUGGGUUCUUGACUGUUCUUAUGAGUUGCUAUGUCAUUGUUGUAGCAUUUUACUCUAGUAGCUAUUAUUAUAACUGUUAUUUUGGUUGACCACUCAUUUAAUGGUUCAAGUUAAGAUAGGACUGUAAAAGGGCAUGUCUUAGUGGAUAUUAUUAGAGUAAUACUUGAUCUUAGUUUAAGUUUCCUAUAUUAAGUUUAUCUUGAAUCCCAUAAGGACCAUACUUGAAGUUAAGAUUUGUGAUAAACUAGACAUAAGUAUUCACCUUGUAGGGUGGAGAGAAUGGAUGUUCAUAAUGUCAUGCCAUAGGUAAAAUAGCAACUGGUCAUUGCGAAGAUGUUUACGGGUAUGAGACUUCCAAUAUGCGAUAGCUGAGGAUGCAAAUUAAAUUCUACCAAGUGCUAUAGAAAUUGCUGUAGCAACUGGUGUUAACUUGAUGAAAAGCAGUCAGCCUAUAAAGAAAGUUUGAUCAUUCAACUACCUUAUUCUCAUUUGAUUCUUCGACGCAUUUUAUUUAAUUUGUUUCAUUACUGCAUUGUUUAACUUUAUUAUCUCACAAUUAUCAAUUUCACUAGUAACCAACUUUACAUUUGUUAAUUUAGGAAUCAAGUUAGAUUAUACUAUCGUGAUUGUUGUAGCAUUUCUAGUAAUAUCAAUCCAUGUGGAGACGAUCUUGAAUAUUAAUCACGUUAUUACUUGUUGUGUAUACUUGCACAUUAGCAUAAAUAGAAUUUGAUAAAAAAUACCAACAAUGAGAUAGGGGUAAACUUCAGGAUGUGUUGCCGUUUUUAAUUGUUGUGUAGAUUCUUUUGAUUCCUAUCUCUAGUGGAGAACCAGAUGUGAUUUUGUGGGACCUUUCUCCUGAUGGUAGUUUUUCUUUGAAGACAACUUCAAAUAUUGUGCAUUGGACAAUGCCAAGUGAUGAGGCUUUUUUUGUUAUUUGGCAGCGACAUAUCUUUUCUUGGAUAUCUUUUUUUCUCUAGAGGUUGUGACACAAAUUCUUGACCACAGAUGAUGCCUCAUGUUCGGGGGAUUUCUGCAUAGUUUCUUAGUAUCUUUGUAGUUGGGCUUAUGAGACUUCUAGGUAUUUUCUUUCUUGAUUGCCCUCGAUUUGCGCUAUGUUGCUUUUUUGUUCCCUCGUACUUUAUUUCUUAAUUGGUAGUGAUGUGCCCUUUCUUGGAGCCAUAUUCGAGUUCUUCUUCCUUGUUUCAUUUUGUGGCGAGUUUAGAAGGCCUGUAAUGCAUUGAAGUUUGACUCAAUGGCCUUUUUUGUUGAUGUUGUUAUUUAUCGGGCAAUGUUGGAUCUUAGGCUUGCCGAUUCUGCCUUUGGUCUUAAACCAUCCCAACUGUAAGGAGUUCUAGGUUCUCGAUUUGCAAAGUGCUUGAGAGUUGUUGUUUCAUCCAGGAGGCUGAUUCUUUUAGUUUUUUGGUUGUGGUCACCACCUGGGGUGGUGAAGCUGACUAUUGAUGGUUGCUUUAGGAGUAAUCCUAGGAUGGCUGCUUCAGAUAGUAUUUUACGUGAUGAUUAGGCUGUGGCUUUGGCUGCUUUUGGUUCCUUCCUUGGGCGCUGACUGAUCUUUCAUGCAGAAUUCAUGGCUGUUUUUGAGGGGUUAGAGUUGGUGCUUAGCUCCAUUAUUCUGUGCUUGACGUAGAGUCGGACUCAGCCAUGGUGGCUUCUUGGAUUCUUUUCUAAGGCCUUGUUCAUACAGACUAUACCUAUUCUUUGCGUCGAGUGUGUACUUUGACAUUUUCUUCUACUUCAUGGUUAGUCAUGUGCUUCGAAAUGCUACUUCUACUGCUGAUUUCUUUAGCCUACACUCUUCAAGUUCAUCGGCGUUUCUUGGGUUCUCAAGAUAUCUCUGCUGGCUUAUCUAAUAAUCUUCGUUUGAAUUGUGGGUAAUUUAACAUAUCAGGCAAUAUAAUUGCUUAUUUUUGUGUUCUAUUUUUUAUCUUGUAUUUUUCACUUUUUCAUUCUUAUGUUCUUGCAAUUGCGGUUUUGAUUUAUAUUCACCUCCUUAUAUAUUUAAUUCAUUCUAUGAUUUAUAUGAAAGAUAGGGGUCCCACCUAAUCCUACCUUUUUGGUGGUUAAAAAAAAAAAGAUUAGGAAUCAAACCUAGGUCAUCAAGGUGAAACAUCAAUCAGGUUGUAAAUUUAACAUAUGAACGUAAAAGCUUAACAAAACAUUUGAAGUUGCUUGACAGCAUAGAAAUACAAGAAAAAAGAGAUGCUAAACAACACAAAAUUUUGAUUGGGUGGGAGUAUUGUUCAUGCUAGCAUAAUAAUGAGUGCCUGAGAAUACCUAUGACUUUCUUGAUAAAUAAUACCAUCUAAAAGGUUAGGAAUCACAGAUGAUUGUCCACGUAUGAACAAAUCUGGCUCCAAAUGUGAAAUGUAUUAAGAUUUUCAAACAUUUAAAUUAAUAGUUAAUAAUUUCGGACAAAGGAUACUUGGAGACCCUAAAGUUCACUGAUUCUAUGUUAUGGCUCAUUGUCUCGCUCAACAAUUUAAUUUCUAGAUUAUUUGGCUCCUAUCUAUUAAAAGACAACACCGUUACUAAAAUUAUAAAUUAUAACAGUUAAACCUAAACCUACGUCGUUUAGCAAUUUACAAAAGAAAAAAAUAUAACAAAAGCCAAUUGUUGGAGUAGCAACGUGCCAACGAGAAAAUCUCAAGCCAUGUAAUAUCCUGUGUCAACAACUAAAGAAGAACAAACCACCACCCUCUAGGCCGUCGCUGCACUAACGCUGGGCCCGAUUUGAAUAGUUAGAAGUUGUAACAUUAAUUAGGGAUUGAGGGUAAAAUUUUGGACUUUGAUUUAAUAAAAUUUAUUUAAAUGAGUCCCAAUAGAAAUAUGAUAAUAAAUAUAUCAAUACAAUUAUAAUAUGUUUAAAAGAAAAAAUUUAUUUUCACACAACAAAAAACACAACCCUUGGAUGUGGGAUGUGUCUAAAAAAUAAUAGGGUGGAAAUAUUAUCACCCUCAAAUUAGAUAUAUAAAUGUUUAAUGUUUUACUCUUAUAAUUUUCUAUUUAUUUUUUUGAAUAUUGUUAAGAGAAAGAUAGAAGUUAAUAUAUAGACAAAUCGAGUCCCUUAUUUUAUUAUUCAUAUCCAUAAAAAGUAACCACUAUGCUAGUCCCCCGAACUUAGCAUAAGACGGUAAUUUAAAAAAAGAAAAAAAAAAGAACGAUUCUAGACACCAAAACAAAAGCAAAACAAACACAAAGCGAGACAUACAAACAAAUUUUAUGCUACUGCAUUCAAGCAGAAGCCAUCAACUGUUCACGACGAAGUUUGAGAGCAACCAAUAGUUCAUCCCGAUUAGGAAGAUUUUCUUCAAUCACAGGGACUUGCUUGAAAGUUUCAAUCCAGGCAUGCAAGCGAGGGAAUUUGUGUGAUUCAAAUAGUUUAGCGCCCACUAUAUCUUCAAUGACUUGCAACCAAUAAACAAUUGAACCAAACGCUAGGUCCACUAAGCCAAUAUUGUCUCCAUUGAAAAAUUUCUUCUCUCCCAAGCCAUGCUCUUCAACGGUUUGUAGCAUUUCCAAGGCUUCCUUCAUUGUGUUUUGUAGUUCUUGUCCAGUGCUACGAAACAUUUUCCAAACAGCAACACCCUGCCACAAAUAUUUUACAUCUGAUUUUAUCACCGACAUGAUUAAUUAAUAAUAUGUAUAUAAAAGUGAAAUAUCGUUAGACAAUAUGCACACGUGUCACAAUAACCUUUAAUUAGAGGUUUAAUAAGUUAAUUAAGAGAGUUCAACCACUGAGUUCUAAAAUCUGUCAUUAGCUAGUAAAUUCACUUUUUCCCAAUGCUUCAAAAGUCAUCAAAAUUCCCCGUGAAGUUAAAAACGGUUGUGUUAACUUUAACUUAUUACAUCUUUUCAUAUUUAAGGAUAAAACAGUGAAGACACCAGAAAUUGAAAGUUUAGAGAACUUUUUACAAAUAAAUAUGAAAAAGACCCCUGGGUGGCUGGGCUCGACUGGCUAUGAAUUCACUUCCGCCAUCACCCGAGUUCGAGUAUAUAUGGAGAGUAAGAUUUAGUGUUUGGUGGGUGGAUUUCGUUAUCCUCGUCACCUCAUCUAGAUCUUAAAGUAAAUAAAUAAAUAAACACAUUUGAAAAGAAUGAACUUAAUCAUAAACGUGUUUGCCAGAGUUGUGAGAGAACCUUGUCUUCGGCGAAUUUAAUCCAGAAUCGAGCAAGAGCUCUAUCAUGAGGAUUAUUUGGCAUCAAGGGAUUCUGUGGCCACGUCUCUUCGAUGUAUUCGAGAAUAACCAUGGACUCACAAACUGGUUUUCCGCCAUGGACAAGCACUGGGAUCUUCUUGUGAACCGGAUUGUGCUUCAAAAGCAAAGCACUUUUGUUUGAGAGAUCUUCUGCAACAAAUUCAUAUGGCACGCCUUUCAAUUUCAGAGCCCAAAUCACCCUGUAAACAAAUGGACUCAGCAGGGUCCCAUGAAGCUUCACUUCAGCCAUGAUAAUUCUAAGAUUGAAUUUGAAUUAUCGGUUUUUGUGAUCGAUGUUGUGUAUGGCUGUUAACUCAUUACAUAUGUUUCUGAAUUUAUAGUGAUUUAUGGUAUGCACUUUCUUGAGCAGAAAGCUUCAAUUUUCCAUUAAUAAAACGAUUAAUGAUGAAUUCAAAGAACUGGUGCGAUGACUUUAAUUAAAUAUUUUUUUACGCUGUGCAACCGCAUUUUGAGGUUAAUUUAAAGGAUAUUAUUUUCUCCUGAUCAAAACUUUUAUAUAAAAAUAAUAAUUAUGUGAUUGGUAGUUAUUAAGUAAAAAUAAAAUAAAAAAUAAAUUUUGAACGUAAAUAAAUAAAAAUCAUAUAUGUUAUAAAGAUUUUUUAAAACUCAAAUAGGUGCACCCAAUUCCUAAUUUAAAACGCUAGCCAAUGAGAUCAAUAAUUUGGUCAACCAGUCAGAGAUAACCAUACAAUAAUUAAUCAAAAAUUUGCCAUUUGUUUUACAUUUAAGACCUUUGCGUCAUGCAUGAUGAUCAAUUGAUCAUGACAUGGAUCAAUUAGUCAACAAGACAUUUGCCUUUUGUGCAUGUAUCCACAUUGGACACAAAUAUAAUUUGUUAUAAAAAAAUUGGACUAAAUUAUUUUUUAAUAUAUUUUUUUAAAAUAAUACAUCUGAUCCUAGAGGGCCCGUUAUUUAGUUCGUAAAUCUUAUAACAGGACCCAUGAUUUUUUUUUUUAAAAAAAUCUUAUGGGUCCCCUAUUAUUUAAUUUGUGGAAUUGACGGAGGUAACUUACAAUUUCAUUUUUGUAAUUUACAGCUUUCAAUAAAUUCAGAUAAUAUUAGGUGGUAAAAGUCGGCCAGGCUGCAGGAGUAGAUCUAUAAAAUUUGCUAGUGUUGUGAAAAUUUUAAUGUACUCGCAAGCGCACGAAUCUAGAGAUAGAAUAGUGGUAACGAGGUCGAUCCCACAGGGAUUGUUAUAAAUUGAAAAGUCUAAUUUAAAUCUCAAAUUAAUAUUAAUUCUAACAUAGUUGACCAAAUUGAGUUUCUAAGAAAAUUAAACCAAUUAAACUAAGGAAACAAUUAAAGUAAAAGAGAAUUCAAUAAGAUAAAAAUUACCAAGGUUUCAGAAUCCACCACUAUUCAACUAGUAAUUACCUAAAUAUUCAUUAAUCCCCAAUUUUAGAGUGACAACUCGAAAUCAAUCUAUGUCAUCUCAUGGAUAUAACAAUUAAGUCCAAGUAAUUAAAUCUAAUGUAGGUUCUUUUUCUACUUAAUAGUAUGACAUCUAAGCAUCCCAUGUAAACAUAUUGAAUAACAAAGAGUCAAAGUUUCCAUAAGCACUCUAUGUAAACAAUUUAAUGAAAGACAUACAAUCAAAGACAAUCAUGUAUAAACUUUAUAGAUCCAAGCAUAGAUUUAAUCAAAUAUUAAUCCUAACAAUCAAUAAUGCAUGACAGAAUUGAUGAAAAGAUUUUAUUAACAUCCAAUUAAUCAUGUGAAAUAAAAAUCAUAAUCAUCAAAGAACAUAUAUAGGGAAUUAAUUAAAUAAAAAAAUAAUUAUUUCAUUGAAUAGGGUUUCAUCCUUAACCUCAGUAUAAGAACAUUAGCUAGACAUACUUGAAUUGGGAGCAACAAAAGAAAUAAAUGCAGCCAUGAAAGUCGAACUACUGCAGAUUUUCUUAUCCGUCUCGCGUUUUCCUCCUCUGGCGGCUCUCCCUUCUCCAAAAGCCAAAAGCUUACUUUUAUAAUCUUUGAAAUGGGCCCCACCUCUUAAAUCCUAAAGCCAAAAGGCUUGCCCUUUUAUUUGCUUUAGCUCUCACACGUGAUCACCAAUUAAACUUGCACUAGGAUUCCUUUUUCCAAUUGUAAAAGCCAAGUGUGGGCCCCUUUAAGUUGCUUUCCAUGCAUUACAAUGCUAUGCACGUGUAACUUAACUAAGCUAAAGCCAAUGUUAUGCUUAAAUUCUUCUUCAUGUGCUAGAUCAAUUAAUUUACUAGCUUCGGUUUCCUCGGCUUCACUUCCACAUGCAUGUAUGUCUAAUUGCUUCUGAAAUCAAUUAAUUAACGCUUCCAAAAUUUAGCUCCCUUAUGUCCUUUUUUAUCCAUAAUCUCCAAUUAAUCCCCUAUUCAAUAAAAUAAUUUAAUUAAUUAAAAAUAACAAAUAAAAAUAACUAGCAAUUAUAUAAUUAAGGGUAAAAUAUGUAUAUAAAUUAUGGUCAUCAACUAGCACUUUGCACUAUCUGUUUGGUGCCCAGAAACACACAUAUAUAUCAUCCACUUUUUAUUUAACGCUGGGUUUUUUUCGACCCAUAAUAAUUUCUCUUUCCACAUCAACUUUUUAAUAAAAACUUUUAUUGUCAAGAUAAAUUGUUAGUAAUUACUUCACUAAUCCUCCCUUUUUUUUGGGCCAAUUUCUCUUUCGCAACUGACAAAAUUUAAUUCACAUCAUGUGAUAGUAUGAUUGCAAAUAAAUUUGAAGUUAUCUCUCGCAAGUUGUUCAAAAAUACAUUGACAUAUCUUGUGUAUAGAACUAAAGAACAAUAGCAAAACCACUAUCCUCUAGCCGAUCGCUGCUAUUAGGACGGCAAAAUUAGUCGUAAAUAUGUAAAUUUGUCUAAACCCAUCUACAAAAAUCUGUCCACUGCGAAUAAUUUUGUAGGUUGCGGAUAAGUUUGAUAUUUUAAAUUUAAGUUCGUUGCAGAUUACGAAUGGAUUCAGUAUUGAGAAAAAAAUUGGCGGGUGUCUGCCGCUAGCAUUUUUUUAAUUAUUUAUGUUUUUAAUUUUAAUCACAAAGAUUGUCUUAAAAAAAAUUUAAUCAUAAAAAUAUAGUAGUUAAAGUUAUUACUCUAAUCUUCCAAAUUCCUAAACCUAACCUAACUCAUGACAGUUGCACACCCUACUCCUUCAAGUAUGUAUGUAUGUAAAUGUAUACACACGCCCACAAAAUUAGCUUUUAAUAAGUAGAUUUAGUAUUUUUCAAGUUUAAUAUUAAUGAUAUUUUAAUUUAAUUUAAUUACUUUUGUUUGUUUCGCUUUAAUGACUUGAACUUAGUAAUUGCUGGCUAAGAUUGGAUUUUUAUUUAUCUAAUUAAUGGUCAAUAGUUGUCCAAAAUAUAUUUGUUAAUAUUGUUGACAAUACUUAUAUAUUGACUAAAAGAUAGAGCAAGGCAUUAAUUUUAGUAAUAAUUAUUUGCCUACAACAAAAAUAUUUUGUGUUAGAAUGAUAUAUUUUGUGUAUUUGUUUUAAUAUUGAAACUUUAAUUUCUCUUUUACAUUGAUAAAAUCUAAAGUUGAGUAGUUUAUGUAGAUUUUUUAGUAUGUUACUAUAAAGUUAUAUUUUGAAUUAUAUAAUUUAAAUUAUUAAAUAUAAUUUUUUAAUAUUUAUGAUUUUAAAUAUAAAAAUUUAUUAAAAAAAAAAAACCAAUACAUGUUAUGGGUGGAUUUGCUAAUUAUUAAAAAUUAUAGCGAACGAACUUAAAAAAAAAAGAGGCAACCGGUUACGGGCGAAUUUAAUAAUGACAAACCCAUAAUAAGCGAUACCAUUACCAUCGGCAGCUUCUAUAACGCAGGGCCGGGGCGGUCUUGAAUUGUUAGAAGUUGCAACAUUAAUUAGCAAAAUAUUUAGCGGCAUCCCUGAAGUUUAGCAUAGAAUUAGAUAUAUCCCCAUGUUGUUUACUUAAUUUUUUUUUUUUUUUCAUUUCAAUUGGAUUUAUAACUUCGUAAUGUUGCGCCUUGUAAAAUGUAUGCUUAAAACGCGUGCUUCUUAUUUUUUAUAUACUGCUAAGAGAAUUUGAGAAUAGAAAUAUAUAAAAUGGUGUCUCAUUUAUUAAUUAUUUAUAUCCUCUAAAUAGCACCUAACAUGCAAGCUCACUUCAAUAGCAAAAUUAAUUAAACAAAAUAAAAAAAAAAGCAUUUUUAACACCAGUACAAAAACAUAUCGAGUGUAAAGGAAGACUCAUUAACUUAUUUUAUGAUAUUAAAUUCACGCAGAUACCAUCAAUGUUUCUCGACCACGUUUGAAAGAGACCACCAGCUCACGCUGAUUUGGAAGAUUUUCUUUAAGUAUAUAAGUGAAAAUUAUUACUCUAGUCUUCAAAAUUCUUAAACUUAAUCUAACUCAUUACAGCCGCAUGCCUUGCUCCUUUUAUUAUAUGUAUAUAUUUUACGAUGAAUACAAUAACUUUCAAUAAGAAGAAUUUUAUACUUUUCAAGCUUAAUAUUAAUGAUAAUUUAUUUUAUUUUAUUUUAAUUACUUUGAAUUGUUUUUGUUUAAUGACCUGAACAUAUUGGUUGUUUGCUAAAGUUGAAUUUUUAUUUGUCUAAUUAAUUGACGAUAGCAAUUGCAUAAAAUUUACUUAAAAAGAUAAAAUCUUAGUAGAUUACAGAAAGAUUUAGUAAUGACAAACAUGUAGCAGCCAAUACACAUUACCAUCCCCAACUGCUAUAAUGCAGGGCCAUGGGCAGUCUUAAUUGUUAGUAUGUGCAAAAUUAAUUAGUAAAAUGUUCAGCGGUAUCCUUGAAUUUUGGCAUAGAAUUAGAUAUAUCCCCUAGUUUUCAAAAUUAGUUUUUGAUUCCCCUGUUGUUUAGUUUAUAUAUAUAUAUAUAUAUAUAUAUAUUUCACUUGGAUAUAUAACUUUAUGUUGCGCCUUAUAAAAUGUAUGCUUAAAAUGCAUGCUUAUUACUUUUUAUAUGCUGUUAAGAGAAAUUAAGAAUAGAAAUAUGUAAAAUGGAGUUUCAUUUAUUAAUUAUUUAUAUCCAUUAAUUAGCACCCAACAUGUAGUUCGUCUCAAUAGUAAAAUUAAUUAAACGAAGCAGAAAGAUUUUUUUUAGCAUCAAUACAAAAAUAAAAAAAAGCACAAAGCGAGAAUCACAAACUUAUUUUAUGAUAUUACAUUCACGCAGAUGUCACCAAUGUUUCCCGACGACGUUUGAAAGCGAUCACCAUCUCAUGCUGAUUUGGAAGAUUUUCUUCAAUUACAGGUACUUUCCUGAAAUUUUCAAACCACUCAUGCAAGCUUGGGAAUUUGUGAGAUUCAAAUAGUUUCACUCCCAUUACAUCUUCAAGGACCUGCAACCAAUAAGCAAUGGCUCCAAAUGCUAGGUCCGCUAAGCCAAUAUUGUCUCCAUUGAAAAAUUUCUUCUCUCCUAGGCCAUGUUUUUCAACGGUUUGAAGCAUUUCCAAGGCUGCCUUCAUUGCAUUCUCCAGGUCUUGUCCAGUGCUGAAAAACAUUUUCCAAACAGCUACUCCCUGCCACAAGAUUUUAUAUCUAAUUCUUAUCACCACAUGAUUAAUAAUAUAUAUGAGGUAAAAAGAAAUUAGAUAAUAUGUACACACGCGUCAAAGUAUCUUUUAAAGCCUAGACGUUUCAAACUGUCAAAGUAUUUAGGAGAGUUUAUCCAUUAAUUUUUAGACUAGUUUAGUAUAACUUUUCAGAAUUUAUUUAAGUAGAAUUUUUAUUAGUAAAAUUUUAAUUUUUAUAAAAAAAUUAAUUAUUUAAUUGUUAAUGAAAUUUUUUUAAAAUUUUUAAAAUUAUUUUAAUAGACAAAUGUUUAAAGUUAUGUUAUGAAAUAAAUAAAAUAAGAUUAUAAAAUAAAUGAUGAAUAUUUUAAACAAUUUAACUUUUUAAAAAAUCCUCAACCCUCUAUUUCUAAAAGUAUAAAUUCAAACUUUUACUAAUAUAAGCAAAAAAAUUUAUUUAAUCCCAAAAAGCUCUACUAAAAAUAAAACUAAAAAAUAAUAAAAAUUUUGAAAAGAGUUUUUUUUAUUAAAUAAACAGGUAUGAGGAAUAAAUAAGUCAUAUCAAACAAAUACUUAAUGAAAAAAAGGAAAAAGAUAAAAAAAAAUCCUCUUAUUGUUUUAGUAAAUUAUAAUUUUACUUUCAUGUUUCAAAAGUCCUUAAAAUUCCUCUUGUCGCUAAAAUUAUAUUUUAAUAUUUUACCCUUGAUGCAGUAAAAUCCACGGUUAAUUAAGAAAAUUUUCUAAAGAUAAAAAAUUUAAAGUAAUUAACCGAUUUUUUUUUUAUAAUUCUCUAAUGUAAAAUAAAAGGUCCGUUGAGCUUCGUCGGCCGUGAAUGCAUUUUGCACAUGCGAGGACAUUAGUUUGAGCAUUAAUAGAAGAUAAAAAUUAAUGUUUAGAGAGUGCAUGUUUCUCAUAUACAAUGAAAAAUUAAAGUAUAUAAAGAAAUCCGACAAGAUUAAUUAAAUUUAUAAACGUGCUAGCAAGAAAAGUUGUGAUGCGAACCUUGUCUUCGGCAAAUUUAAUCCAAAAACGAGCUUGCGCUCUAUCAUAAGGAUCACUUGGCAUCAAGGAGGGAUUGUGUGGCCACAUCUCUUCAAUGUAUUCGAGAAUAACCAUGGACUCGCAAACUGGUUUUUCGCCAUGAACGAGCACUGGUAUCAUCUUGUGAACUGGGUUAUACUUCAAAAGCGAAGCACUUUUGUUGUAGAGAUCUUCUUCAAUGUAUUCAUACGGAAUGCCUUUCAAUUUCAGAGCCCAUACCACCUUGUUGCUAAAUGGACUCGCCCAUCCCCCGUGGAGCUUCACUUCAGCCAUGUGUCUGAGAUCGAAUUUGAAUAUGUUUGUGGUUGUUUUGCUUAGCUGAUGAGUUAUUGCAUACGUACAUCUGAAUUUAUAGUGAUUAAUGUUGGAAUGUCGAGUGCGCUUGCUUGAGCAGGGAGCUUCAUAUUUCCAAUUUAUUUAAUAAAACGAUUAAAUUAAGUUGAAUUCAAUGAGCUAAUGCUGCGACUUUUUAACAAUUCUGUUAUAUAUUCAACGAGAAGAGGUAUCGUAUUUGACGGGAAUCUCUUGAAACAGUGCUGAAUUAACAAGUAAUCUUAUUUAAUUUGGUCAACUGGUCAGAUAUGGAUUAAUGAUAUGUUUGGCGUUUGUUUUAGGUGCCCAGCUAGCCCUGCUGCUGUGUUUUUGACUUUACUAUGGGGUGGAGUCGUGGAGAUAUCAUCAUCCCAACUGAAGACAUAUUAUGAUAUCCUCCUGAAAACUUUGUGAGACUCAUUUACUUUACAAUUUUAGCAUUUUAGGCCCGAAAACUUCAUAUAUAUGACGUUUUGUCCCCCGGCUCCACCUCUUCUUUAUAAAUCCGAACACCUGAAAAAUGACGAGACCGGAACAACUCUCCGUCUUAAGUCUAUGCAAAUUUUACACACAAGAGAAAGAGAGGGAGAGGGGCGGUCACGAGAGACAACGAUACAGAAAAGAAUAUGGAAAAGAGUUUAUUAAUACCAAAAGAGAGUUUAUCAUCAACAUCCACAACAUGGGAUUUGUUGAGUGGAGAAGUGAAAAAGCAGGGUUACAUAGCAGCACCAAUGGUGGCUGUAACUUUAUCACAGUAUUUGCUUCAAGUUGUUUCCAUGAUGAUGGUUGGUCAUCUUGGUCAACUUGCUCUUUCUAGCACCGCCAUGGCCAUCUCUCUAGCUAGCGUUACCGGCUUCAGCGUCCUUGUGAGUCCUAUAAUCCAUAUAUGGUUAUAUACACAAUAUUGUUUAUUCUUUCUUUUGAUAGGUAUUUGCAUCAUUGCAUGUGGGAUUUAAACAAAUAGAUAUGUCAAAUUUCUGAUGUUAAAAAACAUGCAUUUAACUUAUACCCUGUUAGUAAAAAUGCCAUUAAUUUUUAAAGGACUUGAUUUGCUCUUUUUUUUUUUAAAAAAAAAAAAUAUAUAUAUAUAUAUAUUCUACAGCUAACUUGAAUUGUGUAAUAUUUUCUUUGAAACAGCUAGGAAUGGCAAGUGCUCUGGAAACAUUAUGUGGGCAAGCAUAUGGAGCUCAGCAGUAUCAAAGAAUUGGAACUCAAAUUUACACUGCAAUAUUUUGUUUAUUCUUAGUAUGUUUUCCGCUUUCCUUUCUAUGGAUUUACAUGGGAAGGCUGCUAGUUUUGGUGGGCCAAGGCCCCCAGAUUUCACAUGAAGUAGGCAAGUUUAUAAUCUGGCUUCUUCCAGCUCUGUUUGCUUAUGCAGCAAUGCGGGCGCUUAUUCGAUAUUUUCAGUCUCAAAGUUUGAUCAUUCCCAUGUUCUUAAGCUCCUAUGCCGCUCUUUGUUUGCAUAUUCCCAUCUGUUGGGGUUUGGUAUUCAAGUCUGGACUAGGGAAACUUGGAGGAACAUUGGCAAUUGGUAUAUCGUAUUGGUUGAAUCUAACUUUCUUGGCAAUUUACAUGAAGUUCUCCGCUGCUUGUGCAGCAUCCUGGGCUCCAAUUUCAAUGGAGUUGUUCCGAGGAAUUGGAGAGUUCUUCCACUUUGCUAUCCCUUCUGCAGUAAUGGUUUGGUAUGUUAAUUAUCCUCUGGAGUUUUAUUUUCCCCUCUCAUAGAUGUCGUAGACACGUCAUAAAUUUUCAUGCUUCUUCUUUUGUUUGUAAUUUUGCAGCCUAGAAUGGUGGUCAUUUGAAUUGCUCAUUUUAAUGUCAGGGCUGUUGCCUAACCCACAGCUUGAAACUUCAGUCCUAUCUGCAUGGUAUGUUGACAUAGACUUUGUAUGUCAAAGUUCUAUACAGAGAAGCACCUACCAAAGGAAAUAGAUUUUUUUCUUUUUUUUCCCGACUGCUCAUUAUUUGUCAACUUCUUUGGGCAGUCUCAGUACUAUUCAAACCCUCUCUGCAAUCCCAUAUGGACUUGGUGCUGCAGUGAGGUUUGUUCAUAACAAUCAUUUAAAUAAUAAUUGUUUUAUAUCAACUAAUUAGCAGAUUAACCAUUAUUUCCUUCUAUAGUACUAGAGUUUCAAAUGAACUAGGAGCUGGGAAUGUGCAAAGAGCCCGUGUAGCUGUCUAUGCUGUGGUCUUUAUGGCAGUCACGGAGACUAUCAUAGUAAGUGCAUCUCUCUUUGCCAGCCGGCGUGUUUUUGGUUAUGUUUUCAGCAAUGAGGGACAAGUUGUGGAUUAUGUCACAACCAUGGCUCCUCUGGUUUGUUUGUCUGUCAUCAUGGAUAGCUUACAAGGAGUCUUUUCAGGUUAAAUUAACUUCUUCAACUCUGUCAAUUGCUAAAUAGUUCUCUUUAAGUAGAAAUAAAAAUUUUCAGGUUUCUAAAUUCCUUUUAUUAUUUUUAAGGUGUUGCAAGAGGAUGUGGGUGGCAGAAUAUAGCUGCUUUUGUGAAUCUUGGGGCUUAUUAUUUGUGUGGAGUCCCAACUGCUGCCAUUUUGGGUUUCUGGUUAAAGUUUAGAGGAAGGGGCCUAUGGAUUGGGAUACAAGCUGGUGCUUUUACACAAACAGUUCUGCUUGGCAUCAUAACAACAUUUACAGAUUGGGAAAAACAGGUCUGUUUCUCAACAUUUAAUCCCUUAAAAAUUAGAGAAGCUUAUUGGACUAUAUAUGUAAAUAUGUAGCAAUUUUUUUUUUCCCAAUACGUAUCUGAUACCUUUUGACUGAAAGUUCAAGAUUAAAAUCACUCAGCUUGAUCUGAAAUGGUUAGCAUUAUCAUCUUAUGCAGAACUGGUUUUGCUCAUUGAGAAAAUGAUAUUCAAUAACACAAAUGCAAACUCAUUUGAAAAUUUUGCCAUUGAGAAAAUGAUAUUCAAUAACAGACAUGCAAACUCAUUUGAAAAUUUGCUUUUUUGCAAGAAUUAUAACCAUUUUCUAGUUUGUUAAUUGUUACAAGUUCUGUGUUUCUAAGGGGUUUCUCAUGUUGCAGGCAAGUAAAGCAAGGAAAAGAUUAUCAAAGGGAAGAUCUUUAGAGGAUAAUAGAAUAGUAUGUGAGUGAGCAGAGUCAAUCAAUGAGCUGAUAUAUACAUUUUCCAGUUGAAAGAGAUAAUCAUUGCUUGAGAAAAUGAGCUGAUCAUAAGUCAAUUGAUGGCCAAGAAGGUUCCCCAAUCUGAUCUACGGAGCAUCGCAUUUCAUAAAACUCUGUUUCUAGGAAAAAAAAAAAAAAUUAACAGCUUCUUAGGAUUGGAGCAUCAGGUGACUUAGCAUUUCCAGUAUGAAUGAAUUAUAAGAUAGAUGAUGCUGCAAAAAUGAAUAGAGAUCAAAUUAAGCAAGAGAAAAUAUUUGAAUGUUAUUAUUGAAACCUUCUCCAGUGAUUGUAGAGAUAAUUUUCUUUGGGUAAUUUUUAGGGACCUCCCCUGAGGUUUGGUGUAUUAACACCUAGAUGGAAUGUAUCCAUAUAAUUACAUAUACCUCCCCUGCCGUUAUUAUAAAAAUACGUAUAGCAUCAAAUAGAAAGGUAAAUGUGUAAAAAUAUAUUUAAAAUUAAAAUAUUUGCGUUCACCAAAUCAUUAAAAUUUUGACCCACUUGCCCGCUGUCGGCCCAAACUUGACCAGUCGGUCAUGGCUAGACCGGCGGCUGGUGGUGGUGCGCGACUGCCGGAGUCCUCUCCUCACACCAGUGACCAACCCCAUUCAUGGCAGCCUUUGAAUCAACUGCGUCCACCAACACACAUUAACCCAAGUACACGACAUUUUGAAGUCUCUUUUGCUUUGCGUUUUCCCUUCAUUGAGAAGAUUCGUCAGCUAAUAUAAUAAGCUUUGUUGCGUUAGAUUUAAGAUUACAGUGGCCUGAGCAGAUGUGGUUGUGAUGUGGGCUUUAUUGUAUUUGACUAAUAGGCAAAACACAUUUUAUUGGCCUACAAGGACGGUGCCUUUUUCUUCUUGUUGGGGAACUUCGUGAAGAAUCCAGCUUGCUUCUUUCUUCCUUUUCUUUCUUCAUUUUAAUUCAUUUUUUUAAUUUAUAAUAACUUUUUGAGAUUGAAUUAUUGGCUUCACGUGUAAAUGAAUGGUAUUUGGUAUGUCACAAGUGCAUAGUUAUUCUUUUUUUAUUUAUUCUUUCUGAUGUUUUUGUGUUGGAAAUAAUUUCUUAAGGUUUUGGCACCACUCCCCAUUGGAUUUGCUGUGUUCAUGGUACACUUGGCCACAAUCCCAAUCACUCGCACUAGAAUUAACCCUGCAAGGAGUCUCGAGGCUGCUGUUAUUUACAACAAGGACAAUGCCUGGGAUGACCAAUGGUUCUUCUGGGUGGUGGUGUUGGGAAAAUAUGCUCUUUAAAAACAUAUGUGUUUAUUUAAUUGUAAUAAACAAUUUUUCUGAUUAAUAAAAUAAAUGAGGUAUUUUAUUCAAAUAUCUUAAUUGCAUUAAUAUUUGUAUUAAAGUCCAUUUAAUCAUAUUAUAUGUAUUUAUGUGAUCACCAUGUGGAUUCACAGAAGACAUAAAUACAAGUUAUCUUAUGAUUAAAUAAAUUUAGUUCGCAGUUGAUAAAUAAAGUUGGGCACUUUAUUUAGGUAUAGACUGUAAUAAAUUCAUUGAAUGAUUUGUCUUAAUCAUGUAUGAAUUUAUUGAUGUAGUACGACUACAUUGAACAGGAUCACAUAUGAGAUUUAAUUAACUUUGUAAUAACUGUCAGAUUUAUUAAAUCUCAUAGGCAUUGAUUUUACUGUAAUCUUAAUCUUGAGUUAAUUAUGAUUUCAUGAUUGUAAUUGUUAUUCCAUUUGAGUUACCAAUGGGCACGACACAUACUUGUGGUCAAGAUUACCCGGUAUCUUGGUGGGAGCAAUUAUGAGUAUUGGAGUUAUGGAUUAACAAUAUAGAAUUUGUACAACACAUCUCUUGAUGGGUUUUCGGCACUUGAUCAUUGAAUUCUCUGGCCAGAGUGUGUCAAUAUAUUUAGUAUGUUGAAAAUGAUCAUUAGAGAAAACCAGUAAGGAUCAAGGAAAAAGAUGUUAUUAAAUUGAUUGGACAGUUGAGAUAUCAAUUUAAUUAACGAUGUGGUACAAAAGAUUGUGCAGUAAAGAAAUCAAUGUGGCUUGGGACGAAUUAUUAUUCGAGCAUACAAUUAUGGAAGUCAGUUCCAAUCUUUUAGUGGAGUAGAUUUGGAAUUAAAUAAUUGGGCUAGUUUAAUUACAGGCCUAAUUAUUGUAGCCACUAUUGUAUGUUCCCAAAUGAUCCCCGGGUUAGCUCAUUUAAUUGACUGCACCACUACUGGAUUAAUAAGUAAGAUAACUAGCUAUUUGGGUCAAAAGCCUAAAUAUAUCAUUUAGUGGAAGGCUCCAUUUAAUUAGCUUUUGUGUAAGGGGCCUUAUGUUAUUUUACAAGGUGGGUCCCCUAUUGAAAAAGAAAAUAACGUGGGUUUUGUUUUUUGAUUAUUUAGAGCCUAGGGUUUUCACUAAAGGGUGAUAUAAAAAGCUUAUUUUCUCUAAAGAAAAAAGAAGAAGCCACUUUAUACAGAUCAGAGAAUAAGAUUUUUCUCUCUAUUGUUGAGAGAAAAAUUUUCUCGUGCUAGUUGCUUUGGUAGUGAUAAAGGCGCCCACACGUCAAGUGCAGAUCGAACCUGAGUCAUAACCUGGAAGAUCAUUGGUGACAGUUCGUGAUCUAACAAGCGUGGUGGUGACGGAUCGUGAUCUAACAGGAGUGGUGGUGGCGGAUCGUGAUCUAGGAGCCUAAAUCACUUCAGCGGAAAAAGCCAACUCGGAUUUUCAAGGUACGAUUUCUAGAAUACAAUUUCUUAUAUAUUAUAUGAGAGCGAUCUUCAAAAGGUUUUAUAAGAAUUUAAAAACCUAAUUUUUCCCCAACAGGUGGUGCUUUGCCACUGCCGGAGUCCUCUUCUAACACCGGCGACCAACCCCAUUCAUGACGGACUUUGAAUCAACUUCGUCCACCAACACACACUAACCCAAGUAGGCUUUUGUCUCAUCACAACCCUCACACCCCCGCCGUCCCUUUGGCCAUCAUCGACGCCACGCAACAGCCGCUAACAUCCCCAUUAAAGUGGGUUCAAUGGAAUUCUCACUGCCAACAGAAUUCUUAAAGUUAUAUCUAAUAAUUUAUUAUUUCAGCAGGAAGGAUAUUUUAGUAAUUUUAAAUGUUUACUAACGGUCAACUCAAUUAUUAACUAACGGCAGGGGAGGUAUAUGUAAUUACAUGGAUAUAUUCCAUUUAGGUGUUAAUACACCAAACCUUAGGGGAGGUCCUUAAAAAUUACCCAAUUUUCUUUGUAUUGAAACUUUCAGCAUCUGAAAGAUAAGGAAAAUAUUAAAAGAAAAAAGAAAAUUCUUAAAUCUUUUCCAUGUCACUCCUGCAAAGUUGAAUUGUGAUUCUAAACCCUACACCAAAAUGUAAGGUGGCCUGUGGCCUAUGGGUAAUACACAAUUCGACAACCCCAUAUAUUUAGUAAUCUAGGUGGAUGCCAUUAAUUUUUUUUUUUUAAAUUUUUGUUCAUUUUUAAUGCAAACAACGCCUCUUUCAUUGUGGCAUUGGAAUAUAUAGAGAUUUGUCCACUGAUUUUGGACCAUAAUUCACAAAUAAUGCGACGCAUAUCUUUCUUUCAGUACUUCUUCAGGAGGAUAAGAUACAGACAUUGUUGUCUUUUUACCUGAAGAAAGUGCAUGCGCAUGAAUUGUUGUUGUCUGUUAAUCUGCUGGCACUUAGCUGCCAAACAACUUGAAAAAUAAACCAGGAAAAUUUUCAAUAAGCAAAGCCAAACAACUAACCCCUGUUUUAAGUUAUUUUCCUAAGAAAACUUUUAAACACUCAAAUAAAGCACAUAAGUAAAGUAUUUCUGUCACAUUAGCUUUCGAGUGAGGUUUGAUUUACAUUUAUAUCAUAUAUACGGUAUACCAAGUGUUUUUUAUUCUUUUAAUUAACGUAUAUUACAGCUUGGAAAUUCUAAAAAUUGAUCGUGCUUAAUCUUGAGCAACAAUAUCUGUAAUCAUCAUACGAGGUCAAAAGUGAGGGAAAAAAAAGGAAAAGAAAAAGGAAAGAGUUAGUUUUAUGUAUAAAAGUGAAAGGAUCUGUUAUAGACUAUUUCUGUUGCAUGGUUUUCGGAGGCAUAGCAUUGUCCACAGCAUUUGGGCUUUGCUUCUGAUUCAAUGGCAUUUAGAAUUUGGUUUCAUCUGAGAUCAUAUAUAGCUUGAUCCUGAUAUCUUCCAUUUUGGAGGGAUUCAGUUAAAUUGAAGAAGUUUGAUGUUCCAGUUCAAAUUGGGAUUGCUGCAGAUAAUAUAUAUAAUUCUGUAGAGGUUUUCUAAUUUUUAUUUUUAGUAAUGUAUUCAUGUCCUGUCAUUCUUCUUUCUGCUUAAAUCCAAUUGCCCAUGUUGGAAUUUCUUUUCAGCUUUUGUAUUCUUUUUCCUUUUUGUUCAAUAAUGCUAUAGACGAUGCUCUACCAUUUAAAAGAUAUAAAUAAAAAAUUUUAUAAAUUUUUACUUCGUCAAGGUGUGAAACCUUAUAAAAUUUAUAAAUUUAACUUAUGAACAGAGAAGCAUAAAAAAAUGUUUGGAGUUGCUUAAUACCAUAGAAACAAAAGCAGAAAGAUAUGUUCAAGAACAAAACCCAAAAAUUUUCAUCAAGUGGGGCAUCGAUCAUGCCAGCAUAAUAACAUAAUUACAUAAUGCUCGAAGAGCACGCAUGACUUUCUCAAAAAAUAAUAUCACUUAAAUGAUCAAAAAACAGAAAUAAUUAAUUGAUUAUCCAUAUAUAUAAACAAGCCUAGCUCUCAAUGUGAAAUAUAUUAAAACAGCAACUAUAAGAUUUUCGGUGAUGAUAUUUCCACCCCAUAAAUUUUAUAAACCCACCCAUUUUUUAAAAAAUUAUUAUAAUAAGUUCACAUUAUUUUUUAAAAAUUUAAAUUAAGAAGAAAUUAAAAAAUUAAUCAAUUAAAUAUAUAUUCAUUUCUUCUUCUUUUUUUUAACUAUGUUUCUUUAUUAUAUUUCAUCAAUAAGGUUGCUUUAACAUAAAUUAAUAUGACUAUUUACCCUUAUAAGGUAAAAGUACCAAAAUAUCUAAAAAUUCACUUUAACUUUAAUAAAAUUUUAUGCAAUUUUUUUUUUAUAUUUUAAUGAUAUAUAAGUAAUUGUUAGUACAAUUAUUAUUACUCCACUAAACUAACAAAAUAUAAUUAGGACAUGUGGUGGAAUGAAAAUAAUUAAAUUUUAUAUAAAAACCUAAGCAAUUAGUUACGAUAAAUAUAUAUAGUAAUUUGGUUAUUUUAUAUUAUAAGGGUAAAGUAGUCAAAUUAAAUUUAUCUUGAGGCAACCUUCAAAAGUUAAAGAUUGUCAAAAGCUUAAGUCCAAAAAAAAAAAAAAAAUAUAUUAUAAAAUUGAUUUAAUUAAUUAAUUAUUCAAAGCUUUUAUUAAUUUGUAAUUUUAUAAAAUAAUGUAAAUUUAUUGUAAUUAUUUUAUGGAGGUGGAGGGGGUUUAUAAAAAUAGUGGGGUGGAAAUAUUCACACCCUUCAAUUAAUAGUUAGGAUAAUUUUUAGAUAUUUCUCCUAAAGUUUGGCUUUGCUACACUUUUAGAUCAUUUUUAGAGAGAAUGUAUCUAUAUAUUGACAAGAGUUAUGAUACAACUAUAAAUUUUUAUACAAACUUAUCUUGUACAAAAUAAUUUUUUAUUAAUUCAUUAGUUGAAUAAAAAUAUAUCAUGUGAGUCAAGAGAUUUAAUUCAAAUAAUUUUAUCAUAUCACAUUAAUUUAUACAAAAUAAAUUUAUAUAAAAAUUUAUAAUUAUAUUAUUAUCGUAUUGAUAAUAUGCCCCUUGUCCGUGUAUAAGGGUUGGGCACUGAUUAAGUAGUUGCAGUUUUCUUUUAAAAAAAUCUUACAAAAGCUAUUAUACUGUAACUAAUCAGCUAGUGAAACCCGAGGGGAUAGUAACCCAUUUUCAUUGUCAAUGCCUAGCUUCAUUUUUUUUUUUCUUUUUUUUCUCACUUGAUGAGUGCUUAGCUUCAUGUCGAAGGUCGUGACACCAACUGAUUUUAGCAAAAGCAGAGAUACUUUGUGAUGCAGUAAGCUAACAAUUUUCUGAAAUCAACUAUGUUUUGAACCAAAUUUCGGCGACGACCAGCAGCUGAAAAGCCGGUGAUUAAAGGGCACACUAGGUGCGUAAUUCUAUCAAAGCUUAAAACUGAAGUUAGGUUUUAUUAUUUUCUUGCAUUUUGUUGAAAUUGCUGUUAGUUAGGUGCUUUAUUCUUUGUUCCGAUUAAUUGAGAAAAAUGUUUAGGGUUUAUAGAAAUUGAAGUAGUGACCGAAUAUAUCUGAAUUGAUUUUUGAGUUGAUAGUCACUCGAAAUGUUGUGUAAACCAUGAAAAUGAAUUUUUUUUUUUUUAUGAUUUUGGACUGUGGGUUUUGAAUGCUUACUGAAAUUUGCUUGAUAUGUUCUUUAAAUUGAGAAAAAUCCAAGCUUCUUCUAAGAAUACAGAGGUGUUGCUGAGAAAAUGCUUAUGGUGUUGUUUUGUUUCUUUUUUUAUUUUACAAGUGGGCAGUUCAUGAAAUUUGCUUGAUAUGUUCUUUAAAUUGAGAAAAAUCCAAGCUUCUUCUAAGAAUGCAGAGGUGUUGCUGAGAAAAUGCUUAUGGUGUUGUUUUGUUUCUUUUUUUCUUUUACAAGUGGGCAGUUCACGAAAUUUGCUUGAUAUGUUCUUUAAAUUGAGAAAAAUCCAAGCUUCUUCUAAGAAUGCAGAGGUGUUGCUGAGAAAAUGCUUAUGGUGUUGUUUUGUUUCUUUUUUUCUUUUACAAGUGGGCAGUUCAUGAAAUUUGCUUGAUAUGUUCUUUAAAUUGAGAAAAAUCCAAGCUUCUUCUAAGAAUGCAGAGGUGUUGCUGAGAAAAUGCUUAUGGUGUUGUUUUGUUUCUUUUUUUAUUUUACAAGUGGGCAGUUCAUGUAAGAUUGAGACAGUUGCUCUUGUUGCUUUUUGAUGUUUUGUAUAGACUGAUUCCAAUCACUGAUUUCUGUUGGUAAAUGGAUGCUAUUUUUUUUUUUUUCCUUUUCUUCACAUAAAAAUUUGUACUUCCCAACAUAAAAUUCAGGUGCUUGCCUAUUGUUUUUUGAGUUUGUCAUUAAGGUGUAAGAGAUAAAUUAAUUAUAGAGCUUGUGGGCGGUUGGUUUAUUGUACAGUUGAGAAAGUGUCUUUUGGGACAUCCAUUUUAAUACACAGAUUAACAGAUUUAAUUACAUAAACACAAGACUUCAUUUGUUUAUCAAAGUAGUACUUCUGAUGCUUUCGUAAUGAAUGCCAAAGAGAUGACAUUUGCAAAAAGGCCAUUUGAAUGUACCAAUUGCUAUCCUUGUAAACCUCUAUUGUGAUUCUGUUAUCAUUAUAUGUUGUUUAAUGAUCUGAUGAUUUCGAGAUAUCAAGAUGAGUUUAUGGUAGUACAUGUUCAUUUAGCUACUUUAGGUACUAAUACAUGCAUUUAUUGUGUAAUGCCUACUUAGCAGCAAUAACUACACUCAUUGUUGAAGCUACAGCAACACAAAUGAGAAAAAACAUGCUGAGGAACAACAUUGUCUUUAUAUCAUUCCAUUUUACUCUAUUUUGUUGUGCUUUUUGCAUCAGUGACUUCAAAUCCAUCAUAUCCUUUUGCAUACUCAUCAGCAGUUCAUAAUUUGCUUGACAUGUUCCUAAACCAUCAAAUAUAACACCUCGAUCGAUAUCAUUUGAGGAUGGCAUCCAAAACUUGAAAUAGCCACAACCAUUUUUGCUAUCCAUACAGCAAUAACAUAGCUUGUUUGGGUUGUCAUCUGAUUCCGCUACCUUCAUAGCAGCUCUUUUGUAGCAUUUACAAAUCUUGUUUGAAAAUCGAAUGAAUUUAAAAUAUUAUCAUUUAUUUUUUUUUGUAGCAUUUACUAAUCUUCUGAUAUUCAGUAUUGUUUUUAUAUAACUUAAUUUAAAACAUUAUCAUUUAUUUAUCUUAUUAUGUGAUUUUACACUAUCAAAUUAUUUGUUUUAAGGGGCAUUUUGGUCUUUUCAACACUCAUUUGAGUUUUGUCUUAUUAUAAGAAUAUGUAAUGUCAACAGCAAUUAUCAUAAGGGUAUAAUGGCCUUUUCACUGCUCUACAAACCCCACAGCCAAAAACAAUUUCGCCCCAAAUAUAAAGAUCAUCUACCGUGUCCAAUAAUUUUGGCAUUCAUUGAAAUGUGUACUGAAGGGCAUUAUUGUAUAUUCACUCAACUACCUAACGGGUGCCUAACCUUCAUACAUGGCCAGGGGGUUUAUUGUCAAUAUAUGGAUACAUUCUCUCUAAGUGUAUCAAAGCCAAACCUCAGGGGAGGUUUCUAAAAGUUUUCCUAAAUAGUUAAUAAUUUUGUACAACAGAUUCCUGGAUACCCCUCAAGUUCACUGAUUCUACGUUAUGGCUGACUUUCAAGAAAUUAAAUUCUACAUUAUGACCCCCAGUGAAACAUUGUUGCCGAUAAAAUUAUAAAAUAUAUGUGUAAUAGUAGUCAAACCUAAACCUACGUCGUUUAGCAAUUUACAAAAUGAGAAAGACGACAAAAGCCGGGUGUUGGACCAGCAACGAGCCAACAAGAUAAGCUCAAGUUCACUGUGUUUUUUAUGAACCCUCUGAAGACCCAAAACUCUAGGUUUGUUUUUUACGUUCCCUAACUGUUUGACUACAUUUUUAUUCUUUGCUACGUUCGUUAUGAACUGUUCAGGCUAAGUGCUUGACGAAAUUCCUAAGUGAGUGUGUAUAAUGGUUUGCUCUUGUAUUUAUUCUGUUAUAGAAGGUUUUGCUUUGGGUGGUUAAAUAGAUGAGACUAGACAUUGAACUUUAUGCACUUGUAUGUUUUCCAGUAAUUGGUUGUUCAGGCACAUGUACUUUGAAUUGCUUCAUUCAUCUUCAGAGAUAUCAUAACUUUUGUUGUUAAUUUGUCUAAAGUGAAGGCUUUUUUAACUUUUAUUUCUUUGAUUUAUUUAUUUAUUGGUGUAUUGAGGUUCUGUGUCUAAACUUUUAUUUGAUAAGUUCUUUCAGACUACUAAUUGGAAGAAAAAAGUGCUAGAGAGUGAGUAUGAGAGGGAAUGAUGUUUGGGCAAGGGGUGAUUGGUUCACUUGGCUCAUGAAGAACCCCAACUAUAAUGGCAUGUAUCAAUUUCGCAGCCUAAUUGGCAGGUAAGCUCAUUUCUUGAUUUCCUUCAUUUUUCACUUCCAUUUUACUGUUUUCAGGUAGCAGGUAAUUUAAAUAAAAGUAAAAUCAGUAGUGAUUUGCUUCAAGUGCAUGUGGAUAGUAUAUCACAUGUGAGAAGAUUGUAUUUGUUAUAUGAAAAUCCUUAAUAACUUUAAUUAAAAAAUAUAUUCUCAAACCUGAUCGUGGAAUGUACUAUUUCUUAAUAUCUGAGUUUGGAUCAACACAUUUUUUGCCAUGCAAUUUGACAAGUUGUCAUGUCCUCAUUCUGCGCUAUUAUAAGUUUUGCCAAUCUGCAUAGGUAUUUUUAUAGAUUGAGUUAAUCUAGUUUCGAGAACAUGCCUUACUAAAGGGCGUUGAGUUUCUAAGUGAAGGCAAGUGCAACUAUAAUUAUCUAUUUCAUAUCCUCCCUGUUACCUCUAAAUUCUUCCAAUAACUUGGGGACGUUAAUCCUAUUAACGACAGCCACAUAUUAUAAGUCGAGAAAACUGAUUUUUUGAUUAUUGAAAAAUUAAAUUUUUUGUAUUAUUCUAUUGUGAUCUCAGUAACCUACCUGUUGCGGUUGUCUUGUAUGGAUCAUUGUUUCUCUUUUAAGCUGUUAUAUUGACAAUUUUUAGCUCUUAUUGCAGAUCUUAAAGUCAUUGCAAGCACAUGCUCCAUUGAUCUCCAUAAAUUCGGAUACAUAUGUAUAGUUAGCUAUUCAAACAACCACACUGGUAUUCAACUUCAAUAUUCAGAAACAUGGCUGAAGUGAAGCUUCAUGGGGCAUGGGCGAGUGCAUUUUGUUACAGAGUGAUAUGGGCUCUGAAAUUGAAAGGCAUAGCAUAUGAUUACAUUGAAGAAGAUCUCUCUAACAAAAGUGCUUUGCUUUUGAAGUAUAAUCCAGUUCACAAGAAGGUCCCAGUGCUUGUUCAUGACAAAAAAUCCGUUUGCGAGUCCAUUGUUAUCCUUGAAUACAUUGAAGAGAUGUGGCCACACAAUCCCUCCUUGAUGCCAAGUGAUCCUUAUGAUGGAGCUCUGGCUCAUUUCUGGAUUAAAUUUGCCGAAGACAGGGUUUGCUUCAGAACUCUAGCUAAUGCGUUUAUAAGUUCAUUAUUUUCAUGUUUAUUUGUUAUUAGAGAAAAUGAUCAGUAUCCCCCAUUGUAAGUCAAAAUUAAUCAUUUCUUCUUUUAUAUUUUAAAACCUAUCAAAAUCUCCAUUGUUGUUCAAAAAAUUCUGUUAACUUUCAACUUUUUGUGUCUUUUACUAAUUUACCUCUGGAAAAAUUUUUAUUAUUAAGAAGUUGAAAGUUUAUUAGAAUUUUUUUAAUGGCAGGGGAAAUUUUGAUGGCUUUUGAAAUAUGACGGAGAAAGGAAUUGAUUUACCGAAACAGCAUUGGGGUUUUGUUGUUCAUUUCCCGUCAUUUGAUGUAGUGGUUAACCUUUGGUAUAAGGAUGCUUGACAAGGGUAUUUAGGUCCAAGUCUUUUAGCUCAUACGUAUUAUUAAUCAUGUGGUGAUAUUUUGGCAGGGAGCUACUGUUUGGAAAAAGUUUUGUAGCAUACAAGAUCAAGAGAAUACAAUAAAAGAAAUCUUGGAAAUGCUAAAAACCGUUGAAGAACAUGGCUUAGGAGAGAAGAAAUUUUUUCAUGGAGACAAGAUUGGCUUAGUGGACAUAGCAUUUGCUUCUAUUGUUUAUUGGUUGCAAAUAAUUGAAUAUGUAGCAAGAGUGUAACUAUUUGAAUCUCACAAAUUCACUAGCUUACACGUUUGGUUUGAAAAUUUUAAACGAGUCCGAGAAAUUGAAGAGAACCUUCGUAAUCGGGAUGAACUGUUGGGUUUUUUCAAACGUAGCCGUGAAAAGUUGGUGGCCUCAUCCUCAUUGCAUUAGCACAAAAUUUGUUCAUGCAAUUGUAUUGUUGUCAAGAGGCCGCUCUUUGCUUAGUUUUUUAUCGUCUUUUGUGCUCAAUUGGGAGGCCGCCGGUUUGCUGGGUACUUUCAUAUGGAUUUGAGUUAUAAAAGGGACUUGACUUUAUAUUUAUGAAUUAUUGCAUGUAUUUCGUUAAUUAUUAAUGGACUACUAGCGGUUAUGUAUUGUUUGGAAGGAAGUUUGAAUGCUAAGAUGUACUAAUGACUUAAUGACAUGUGGCAAAAAAAUCAGUUAAGUAAAGUCAACUCGAUUGAAUGAAUGGUAAUAUAGCUCUCAAAAGUUAGAAGAUAAGCUCCCUAUGGAAAAAUAUAGUUUCGGUAAUAUGUUUAACAUUAAGGGGUAUUAUCGAAACUUAAAUUUUAAUGGUUAGACCCAGUAUGUGAACAGUGCGCCAUUAUUUUUAGGGUUAUAUUUUGCUAAGAAUAACAAGCCAAUAGAACUUUAGAGACUUUUUUCUAGAUCUAAUUUCUUGAGAGACUUCUUCAUCUUCUUCAUCCUCUAUUUUUAGGGUUUCUUUCUCCAUUUUAACACCACCAUGGAAAAUCUUAACCAUCUCAUCCCCCAAAGAAACCUCUUCCCUUACUCUUCUCUUGGAAAACUCUCUAAUCUCUAUGAGACUCAUAUCUCCCCCAUGUCAUUAUUCCUCAAAAACAAUCUUUAAUAAGAUUUUAUCGAUAUUACAAUGCAAAUUAUGUAAUACUUCAUUUAUAUAGUGGAUUGGAUAUGAAUUACUCCUAUGGAUGUAGAUCAAAGGGCCAACCACCUAAAAUCUUGUGUGUUUUUUAUUGUUUAUGCUUAUUUUCUAUUUAUUAGGAUGAUGAUAAUGCUCAGAUCGUAUUUCAUAUAUGAGCUCACUAGAGGCACUAUUGAGUUCCCCAAAUAAGCUCUCUAGUUAAAGCUAUCCUUAAAUAUGCCUGAGCUACUCCCUAAACUCUCUUGAGCUCCGCAAAUCAACUAUUUAAACUAAAUCCCAUGAGCUCCACAAAGCUUACCUCCCAACAGCAAAAUACCAAGCUUACCUCAAUUCAUCUUCCAGAUCACCUCAUUUAUUUCUUUUGUCCCUAACAGUAGAAAAACACACUUAGAUUUUUACUAGCCCAAUCUCACCUCAAAUAUAAAUUUAUUUAUUUAAAUUGUCUUUGACCUAGAUCUAGUGAGGACAAUGAUUCAAAUCAGAUCCUAGAGGAAAUCCGAUCAAAACAUUUAUCUAUGUAUAAUAUUGAACAUCAUCCUAACGAUCAAUCCGAAUGCACUUGGAUUUGUUCUUAAUAGUACACAAAAGUGGAAAAAGCAUAGCAAGCAACACUUGCACACACGAGGCUCAAUACAAGUACGAACGUCACAAUUCCAAGCAACAAACAAUGAUCAUCAGUACUAAUUUUUUCUGCAAGCCACAAAAUUGGAAAAUACCGCCAAGUAAUUAAUUAACCACUGUGACUUGCCAGCUUAAGCUUAUCCAAUGCUGAGAGUUCAUUAUUCUUCAAGGAUUGGUUAUUGUAAAUGUCUUUUAGAGUAAUUUCAGGAUAGAGCGGAGGAUUUACUUCUGAUAGCAACUCUUUAAUUGGACCAUAUCGUCUCGAGCAACUAUUAUUCAUGAAAAAACUUCCGAUUGAAAUUCUGGAGCCUUCCUUAUUUGAUAACACUCUAUGAUAGGCACUCUUGAACUUAUCGUUGGUAAUCAGCUGCAUAAACACACACUUCAUAUAAACGAUAAUUAAGUUAUCUGAUCUUCGUGAAAGACUUGGAGGCCACCAAUUUGAUCUUGUAUGAGCACAGUAACAAAUCCAGGGUCAGAAUGUGUUGCUAUGCCGAUGGACAAUUCUGGUUGAGGGCAUUCAGGGCAGUAACUAUUCCCAAUAGUCAUUUCCUCUACACAACCUAUGUCUUUCAGGUAAUUGGGGUCAAGCCCUAAAGCUUCGGAUAAAAGUUCAAACAGAGUGCCCCCUGUUUUCCACAUUAGGUUGUUGUAUGUGAUCAUUAUCUCUCUGCAAAUUAAUAAAGUCAAAAAAUAAUCACUACUAAAAGAAAGGGAGAAUGACAUUUCGACUUUUAGAAAUUAUUUUUUUAUUGGGUUAACAUCUAGAUGAAAUGAGAGUAAUAAAAACUUAUUAGGAACCCAAGUGAUGCAAAAAGUUCUAAGAAAGAGGCAGGUGUUAUCCACUGUAAAAGAAAUAAAAUCUAUUGGUCAUCGUUCACAUACCUGCAAGCUUCAGGCAAAUCUUCAGGAUUUGAAAAAUCGCGAUCCAUAACACAACUCAAAGUAUCUUUCCAAAAGAGAGUCGGUGCACUAUACAAAUUUAAAUUUGAACAAUAUUUAAUUUUUUUGGAGUAAUCACGAGAAUAAUAUUUCUGCUUAACCUCAACAUCUUGUUCAAAAAACCUACGGAUCCCAUCAAUGGCUUGAUCCAAAAUGCUUGUUGGGACUCCAUGAUUGAUCACUUGAAAGAAACCCCACUCCUCACAAGCACUUCUAAUUUGGUCAAUUACCUGAGAACGCAAGCUUGAAUCCUUGUGUAUUCUUUGAAGGUCUAUGAUUGGGAUGCUGAUUUUGGGGUCCCUGCAGAUUGGCUUAUCAUCAAACUUAUAUUUAGUGUGAUGAUCUUGAAUGAAGAUUUGUGGAAUGGUUGUGAUCCCAGCAUCUACGAGUCCCUUAACACCAGCUUUCGUGUCAUCAAAAGCUUUCAACUCGCUAACUCUGUCACAAGUAAUGCUUCCCAUUGCUUGGUGAAUUAUCUUUUACUUGGUGAAUUAUGAAUUACAUAUGCUGACUUGCUGAUGAUUGCUUUUAGGAGAUACCGUUUAUAUGAUUGCUAGCUUGCCACGUGCAACAUGUUGAAAUAUAACGUCACCACGAUGAUAUGGAAAUUUGUAAAUUUGAUUCUGCAUUAUUUAUCAUGAUUAAAUUAAUUAUAAAUUAUCAAUAACAGUCAAUUCCGGGGACCACCAACCAGUGGGUGGCACAGCACGAUAAUAGACUGGGCUGUGGCUUUGUUUUAUGUGGACAAAAUUCCAAUUAGCUACAGCAUAUUGCUGCUUGAUAGUUAACGUUUCACCUUCUCCAUUUGGACAUACUAUUAUGGAUUUACAGUGUUGCUUAAAAGCUAGAUCUUAAAUGAAAAGAAAGCUUUAAUGGUGAAAUAAAUAUUAAAAAAAAAUGAUAAAGAGACUAAAUGUUAACCUAAUGUUAACAAAAAUAAUGGUAAAAUAAACCUGUUUUAUCAUGUUAAUAAUAGUGGUAUUUAUUUAACUUUAAUAAAUUUGGCCAUUUCGAUUUUUAAUUUGGCACCUUCCCUGCUCAGUCAAGAAAAAGAAUACUAUAAAAAUUAAAAUAGAAAAUUUGGCAAGGACAUAACUGCAGAGAUGUUAUAUAUCAAAGCAAUGUCAAAGACUCAAAGUUAUAAUACUUCCCUUAUUAAUGAGAAGAGCACUAGCAUAUACAAGAUCGACAAUCACUUAAAUUAAGCCUUAAUAAUACUAAACUACAUACAUGGGAUCUAAUGCGUACAAGCAAUGCUUUCUGGUCACAGCAGCUUUAGGUUUCAGCUACAGUACAAAGUGAAACUGUCGCUUGAAAAUAAAAUUCAUGUUCAGCAGCCUCUCUAUAUCCGAGCUCCAAUUUUAUAACCAGGCAGCUAAAUAAGAUGAUUUAGACGGCAACGGCGUCUGUAGUAUUAAUUGUUUGUCUGUAGUCCCUCAUUAUCUACUUUCUGAUCGCUUACUAUGUAGAGAAUCGACAAGAGCAAAUUGUAGCACACGUUCACAGCACUAAUAACUGUUAAACUCUUAUAGUACUUGUCAAGCCUACUAUCAUCCAAGGUUUCAGCAAAGUCGCCUUUGUUUGCCAAAAUGAAAAAGAUGUUAAAAAUGCUUCCAAUUCCGACGAAAAAAGAACUUAUUGCUGAUACAUGGUACUCCAUCCGUUCAGGAAAAUGAGAGCUCGAGUAUUCAUCACAUCCAUACCAAGCAAGCCCUUCCAUAAGACCUAAUAGACAGAAUUGUGGAACAAGCCAAAACAUGCUCAUAUUUUCCAAUUGUUUGAGCUUUUCCAACCUGCGAACCUCAACCUGCCAUGCCACUACACAGCAAACUGUAGUCAUCACCAUUCCAAUGAAUGUUCUCAACACUUGAGCUUGUCUCCUUUUAGUUUUUGGAACAAAAUCGGAAAUUAAAUUUUUUGACAGAUAAGAGAUCGUUGCACGAAUUAUCCCUUUAAAAGUUCGUAGAAAGAUUAAGUAUCUUUCAGAAAUCAUGUUGGCUCCCUGCUCAGGAAAAAAUGUAUUUCCUGCUGACAGAACCAAUCCAAACACAAUGAAGCUAGACCACAAUGGCAACAAUUUAAGAAGAGAUUUUGACUCCCUGACCUGGGCCACAGUGCAAAGUGUGCCUGCCUCUUCUUGUUCGUUAGAAGUACUUGAUGUCUCUAUAAUUGCCGCUUUGUCUAUCCAUCUGCAAUUCAAAGAAUUAAUUUAUUGGUAAUUUUUUAGGAAAAUAGAAAGCGACAGCUCAUGGUUUGGCAAAAUGAUCACACAGACGCGUUUAUAAAUACGCCCUUUUGGACAAAUCUUGGAGGUCGGUGUGACUAUUCCCGAACACAAAAGGGUAUUAAUGUGUCCGUAAAGAGGUUUAUAUAAUUAUUAAUAAAAAUAAGAGGGUCUCCCCGACAAUUUUGCCAGACCACGGGCCGGGUGGGUGUAUACAUGUUAGGCAUAUACCUGAGUAAUUUGAUUCUGGGUGACAAGUGUAAUACGUUUCCCUCAUCAUUACUGAAGAACAGCCCCGGAGAACGAGGAUAAUUGAGAUGCUUUUUCUUCAGGGAGGUUUUAACAACGCGGAUUAUAGCAAAACGGUCAAUAGGAGGUAUUUGUCUACUAUGAUAAAAGGGAAUACCCAACAACAGCAGGAUCAAACUGCCCCCCAUAAACAACAAUGUGAACAUGAAAGUCUUCGUCCAUGUCUUAAUAUUAUUUGCAUAGAAUGCCGCAGCUGCACCACAGCACCAGGCAAACCGCCACCACAGUCUUUUCUGAGCCAUUACUUGAUCCUCAUUUGAAUUUUCUGUUCUCCCUCCUUUACCAUGUUCUCUUAAUUGAUCGGCAAGAAAUGGUCCCAUAAGAGGCGCCGCUCCAACUUCACCCACUGCUAACAGGAUAAUUCCUAUCAUGUUGAGUAGCUCAAAGUUGGUUUCUGAAAAUUCUCUGGACGCUGUACAGAACAAUAGCCCCAAUGCCUGAAACGAAAAUUGUUGGAACUAAUUGUAUAGCAUAACAUUAUGAUCCUAGAAAUGCUUUUCUUAAUCAUUAUUAUAAUCCAAUUGGAGCCAAAAUGAAUUAAUGUCACAUCAAUUGUAACUUAACUAUUGAGAUCUCUAGCAUUAUUUUUAUAGGGAUAAAGCUGCUAAUAUCCUCUUAAGAGGUAUGUGUGUAUACAUACAUACAUACAUAUAUAUAUAUAUAUAUAUAUAUAUAUACAUGCUGUGAAAUUUAACAUUUACUGCAAAAUAAUAAAUUUUUAAUUUAGGUCAAAGUACUAUAAAGUCCUGGGUCCGCCCCUGAAUAUAUAUAUUGCUUGCAAUGAUAGACAUAUGUUUUAAUUUCGUCUCUGUUUAGAAGUUUAGCAAAUUCAAAACAUAUUAACUUACAAGGAUGUAGGAGACAGUUGAAAAAAUGAGGAUUCUGAGAGGACGAAUGGCAUAACACGAAAUCCAGGCGGCAACAACCGUAAGAGUUGCUAAUAUUACAUCCUGAAUACUCGUAAAUAUUGCAGCUUUCUGAAGUGUGAAUACUUUUGAAUAUUCGGAGUCGGAGAAGUAAGUUAUCAAGACGCCCACUAUAGCCAAGUCUACGAGUUUGCGGCUUAUCAACAAACCUGGAAUCAAAAUAAUCAUUAGAAAAAAUGUUCGUGCUCACUAAAAAAAGCUUACACAUGAGGACUGCAAGAACAACGUGAGAGAACUAUUGUCAUGUUUUUAUAAUUUAGCCCAACCUAAUCAAAGAUCUUAAGUACACCUCUCUUAACUGAAAUUAUUCUAGGGGAUUAUCUAUUUAGGAAUCUCAAAGUUCAUGAGCUCUUAAUACACGGGCGGAUUUAGCAACUGGCCAAAAAAAAAAUCUAAAAUUAAAAAAGAAAAAUAUUUUAGUUUUUUAAUUAGCCCCAUAAAAAAUUUAUUAAAAUAAUCACUAUAAAUUAUAAACCCCCAUAAAAUUUAAAAUUUAAAAUUUAGCUUUUAAGAAUUAUAAAAAUUUAUAUUUUAAUUGAAAAUAAUAAUAGUCCACCACUCAAAAUAUUUUCAAUUCUCAAAAAUAUGAUUAAUUCUUCCAGUCUCUAUAAUAAUACUAGAGCGAACGUUUUCAGUAAUGAAACUCAUGAAAAAUCAUCUUUGGAAUCAUAUGGGAUAAAUGAUAGUUUGAUUGUUUAUAUACGAAACAAUAAAUUUAAUAAUCUUGAUAAUGAGUCUAUUGUAUAACAUUUUUAAAAUAUAAAAAUGCGCGGAGAAUAAUUAUAAAUGUAUUAGCAAAUAUUUUAUAUAUUCAAAAUUUUAGUUUUUCAUAUUUUACUAUUAUCUAAUUUAGCCCCCAGUAAAUUAUUUUUCUAGAUCCGCCACUGUUAAUACAUACACACGUACAUAUACAUACAUACAUCAUCAUGUUGUUAAAGAAAUGAUAUUAGUAAAAUACAAAAAAAAUAUAUGUACACGUAUUAAAUUGUAUGGUUUAACAGAAUUAGUACAAAUAAAUAAAUUACAUGAUUUUGUAGUGCAUUGAAAAUUAAUUAUAUUAAACUAUACAAUUUAAUAGUGUGUCUCCAUUAAAAAAAAAAAAAGACCCCCAUAUAUAUGUAUACAAGUUUAUAUUCUAAAUAAAUACAUUUUUAAAAGAUAGGAUUACCUAAGGCCCCACGUGCAAAAUUACCUGACAGAAAUGCAGCAGCCUUACAAAAGCAGACGUAAUAUCGUACCCAAGUUAUGAACCUGUUUUGAAGCUUCAACAGCUGAGAAAAUGGAAGCAUUGUAGUUUCUGUAACUGCUUCUUUUAUCUGCAAAUACUUCUACUUGUGAGUUGUGAAUCACGAGACGAUGAAGAUUUUGUAAUUAUGCCAAAGUCUUAUAGUUAGUUUAUUCAAAUUAAAAAAUAAUAAGUCGCACUUCAAGACCACCUAUUGGUCACAUAAGUCUUUUUUUUUUUUUCUUGUUUUUAGUCUUCUAAGAAGUUAGUUUAUUCAAAUUAAAAAAUAAUAAGUCGCACUUCAGGUCACUUCAAGACCACCAAUUGGUCACAUAAGUCUUUUUUUUUUUCUUGUAACUUUAAUCCAGCUACGGUGCAACAGGUGCACCGUGCCCCUCUUUUUGACAGCACCCCUUACUUUCUUCUGUAUUUACAGUUUAUUAAAGUAAUUUCUUUUUCCUCUUUCUUUCACCCCUCACCUUUACAAUCUUCCAAUUUUUUCCAUUUUCAAUUAAACCUAUAAUCAACCAAUUGCAAGCAAUAAGAAAGAAGUUGGCAAGCUAUUUCUUUAUCACCUUAUGAUUCAUUUGCUCUAUAAUACACAAGUAAUAAUGAAUUGAAGUUUUUAUAUAAAAAAAAUUACAUAGAUGUAAUUUUUUUACGCACACUAUUUAUCAUCUACAAUAAAAUUAACAUGUAAGUAAAUUGAUUUUUUUAUCUUUUAUUAUAUGUAUUCUUCCCCUUUCUCCCCCGUAUGUCUUUUCAUUUUCUCUUUGAAUAAUCUAACCUAAGGCUUUCUAAUAAUUGGUUUAUUGUUAUUAUUUUUAUAAGUAAACCUUCUCUUUAUUAUGGCAAUAUGUUUAUUUUUAAAAAAAAAAUUGUAAAUGACCAAAAGUGAGAACAUUAAUAAAAAUUCAAAACCUAUCUUAGUUUUUGUUGUCUUUGUUGAUGCAUCUUGCAUGUUUGAUCUCUUAAUUAUAAUUUGUGAGAGUAAGUACUGUAAUACAAUGAUUAUUAAUGAUUAUUACUAAGAGUAUUUAGAGAAAAAGAAGUUGGUGUAAAAUUUUAUAAACUUUGACUUUUCUAAAUUUUCACUAAACAAUAGGGAUUGCAUUAGAGUAAUGAUACAGCCACAAACUCUUGUACAAACUUAUUUUGUACAAACUGACGUGACAUUAAUUCAUUGGUUGAAUGAAAUAUAUAAAUUAAUAAAAACAAAUCACGUGGGCCAAGUGAUAUUUAAUUCAAUCAAUCUUAUCAUGCCACAUCAGUUUGUACAAGAGUUUGUGGCUGUAUCAUUACUCAUUGCAUUAUUAAUAACUAAAUAAACACAUCCAUAACCUUGAAACUACAUUUGUGUUAGAUCCGAUGGUGGCAGUACAAAAAGACAAAAAGAGGGGUAUGGUGCACCCCUUGCACCGUAGUUGGAUCCUUUAGUUACAAAAUAAUGACUUACUGUACAGCUCAAUAAUUUUAGGUGGUAUGAAACACGUAUGAUGAGACGGUCAUAAUUAAACUGUACCAUGAAUGAUGCUCAUUGAGUAUAUAAUCCCUUUCUUUUUACAAACAAGAUUUAUGCUUUAUUUUAGGGAGGUUUGCUAAGUUCUUUCUUUUUGUAAUGGUUACGGAGACCGACAAUUUUCUAUUGAAGUUAUUUAUAAAUGUAUUUCUUUUUCAGCAUGUAAUAUAUUUAGGAAAUGAGUAAUUAUUAAGUAUAAACACUUAGAUAAAUAAUGUUGUACAAACUUAUAUGAGAUUUUUAGAAAAAAGGAUAUGAACAUCCUUAAGAUUUUAAAAAAUGGUCAUAUAUAAUCUGAGUUUUUAAUAAGGAAUAUCAAGACACUUUUUGAUUAUAGUAUGCUUAGUAGAUAAUAACAAAAAAUAUUGAUGAUUUAGAUGGCAUCGGCAUCUGUAGUAUCGUUUGUCUGUAGUCCCUCAUUAUCUACGCUCUGAUCGCUCCCUGUGUAGAGAAUCGACAAGAGCAAACUACUGGGUGGCACAUCACAAUAAUAAAUUAUAAAUAAUAGUCAAUUCUGCAUAAAUUAAUUGUCCCUCAUUAUCUGCGUUAUUUAUCAUGAUUAAAAUAAUUAUAAAUUAUCAAUAAUAGUCAAUUCCGGGGACCACCAACUACUGGGUGGCACAUCACAAUAAUAAAUUAUCAAUAAUAGUCAAUUCUGCAUUAUUUAAUAUUUAUGUGGAUAAAAUUUCAAUUAGCUACACUACAUUGUUGUUUGAUAGUUAACGUUUCACCUUCUCCAUUUGUAAAUAUUAUUAUGGACUUAUAGUGUGGCUUAAAAGCUAGAUCUUAAAUGAAAAGAAAGCUUUAAUGGUGAAAUAAAAAUUUAAAUAAAUGAUAAAGAGAUUAAAUUAAGGUUAACCUAAUGUUAGCAAAAAUAAUUGUAAAAUAUACAUGUUUUAUCAUGUUAAUUGAUGCUUUUCCAGUAUGCACAUAAAAAAGAUAUAUUUUACAAUUGUCUCUGUUGGCGUUCGGGCAGAUUUUUUUAGUCUAAUUAAGUAUAUCAUAAGUUAAUAAUAGUGCGUAUUUUAACUUUAAUAAAUUUGGCCUCUUAGAUUUUUAAUUCUGACUCCUUCCCUAAUCAAUCAAGAAAAAGAAUGCUUUUCUCCAUAAAAAUUAAAAUAGAAAAUUCAGCAAGGACAUAACUGCGGAGAUGUUUGAUCCUGGAUUUAUAUAUCAAAGCAACAUCAAAAUUAUAAUACUUCCUUGUUACCGAGAAGAGAUAUAUUCAAGAGCACUAGCCUUAUAAAGCCUAAACCAUACUAAACUACCUACAAGGAAUCUAAUGCGUACAUGCAAUGCUUUCUAAAGUGAAACUGUCGCUUGAAAAUAGAAUUCAUGUUCAGCAGCCUCUCUCUAUCCGGGCUCCAAUUUUAUAACAAGGCAGCUAAAUAAGAUGAUUUAGAUGGCAUCGGCAUCUGUAGUAUCGUUUGUCUGUAGUCCCUCAUUAUCUACGAUCUGAUCGCUCCCUACAGUAUUGUUUGUCUGUAGUCCCUCAUUAUCUACGCUCUGAUCACUCCCUAUGUAGAGAAUCGACAAGAGCAAAUUGUAGCACACGUUCACAGCACUAAUAACUGUUAAACUCUUAUAGUACUUGUCAAGCCUACUAUCAUCCAGGGUUUCAGCAAAGUCGCCUUUGUUUGCCAAAAUGAAAAAGAUGUUAAAAAUGCUUCCAAUUCCGACGAAAAAAGAACUUAUUGCUGAUACAUAAUACUCCAUCCGUUCAGGAAAAUGGGAGCUCGAGUAUUCAUCACAUCCAUGCAAAGCAAGCCCUUCCAUAAGACCCAAUAGACAGAAUUGUGGAACAAGCCAAAACAUGCUGAUAUUUUCCAAUUGUUUGCGCUUUUCCAACCUGCGAACCUCAACCUGCCAUGACACUACACAGCAAACUGUAGACAUCACCAUUCCAAUGAAUGUUCUCAAUACUUGAUCUUGUCUCUUCUUCGUUUCCGGAGCAAACUUGGAAAUUAAUUUCUUCGACAGAUAAGAGAUCGUCGCAAGAAUUAUGGCUUCAAAAGUAAGUAGAAAGAUUAAGUAACGUGCAGAAAUCAUUUCGGCUCCCUGCUCAGGAAAAAAUGUAUUUCCCGCUGACAGAACCAAUCCAAACACAAUGAAGCUAGACCACAAAGGUAACAAUUUAAGAAGAUAUUUUGACUCCCUGACCUGGGCCACAGUGCAAAGUGUGCCUGCCUCUUCUUGUUCUUUAGAAGUACUUGAUGUCUCUAUAAUUGCCGCUUUGUCUAUCCAUCUGCAAUUCAAACAAUUAAUUUAUUCCUAAUUUUUUAGGGAAAAUAGAAUGCAGCAGCUCAUGGUUCGGUAAAAUGAUCACACAGAUUCUUUUAUAAAUACACCCUUUUGGACAAAUCUUAGAGGUCAGUGUGACUAUUUCUAAACACAAAAGGAUAUCAGUGUGUCCAUAAAGAGGUCUAUGCAAUUAUUACUAAAAAUAAGAGGGUCUCUCUGACAAUUUUUGCCAGACCACGGCCGGCUGUGGGUGUAUACAUGUUAGGUGUUGUUGAGAUGAUUAAUCAACAGCAGCAGAGCAAUGGUUGAGAUUCACUUGACUAGGAUUGAUGAGCUGGACAGCUGAGCUGGACAAAUCAGUUAGUUCGUUAUUGUUGUUUUAGCUUAACCAAUGUUUAAUUGACAGCUGCUAAGAAGUUGUUAUUUGCUGUUAAUGAAUAAUAUAAGUUGAUGAAUGUGUGUGUGUAAUAAAAUAAUUCGAGAUCAAUAAAGCUCUCUUAUUCAGUUUAUUUUCUUUCUCCUUUUCUGUCACUUUCCUGCUAGCCAAACACAUUGUAUGCUUAAGAUCAGUAAAUUCUAAGUUGGUAUCAGAGCUAGAUGGCAUCGUCAAGUUCAAAUCAAACCACAACUGUUUCCUAUACGUUUCCUACACCAAUCAAGCUCGACAGAUCAAAUUAUCUGAUCUGGAAAAUCCAAGUAUUGGCAUCAAUUCAGGGAAAUGGAUUAGAAGGAUACAUUGAUGGUUCAAUCACAGCACCAUACACAGAUCAGAGAACUCCGAACUCUGAAUUUGUGAUAUGGAAGCGAACUGAUCAGCAGCUGCUAGGUUGGUUACUCUCCUCCAUGACUGAGAGUGUCCUUGGAAUUGUUCUCGGAUGCAAAACUUCCUUUGAAGUUUGGAAGACUCUGGAAAAACUCUCUGGUUCACAGAACAAAACCAGAGCAUUACAACUGAAGAAUCAAAUGAUGAUGACAAAGAAGAAUGAUUUGAGUGUUUAUGACUAUUUUCACAAAAUGAAAGGCAUAGCAGAUAGUAUGGCAGCAGCAGGGGCACCAAUGAGUGACUAUGACUUUAUGAUAAGUGUAUUAGGAGGAAUUGGUUCAGAUUUCAAUCCUGUAGCAGUUUUGAUUACAGGAAGAGGAUUAGAUCUCGAUUUAUCAGAAUCACUCUCUAUGUUAAUGACACAUGAGGGAAUGUUAGAACAACAAGCAUUAGCUGAAACUAUGGAUGCAAAUCUGGCUUUUGCUGCUAAUUUUGUUCAGAAAGGAAACAAUAAUAAGAAAGGUUUUGGAACAUACAACUCAAAAUCUGGUUUCAAUCAAGAUGUAUCAAGAUCUGAAAAUUCUGGAUACAUGAUGCAAGGAAAUUUUAGAGGCAAUCAAGGUGGAAAUUUUUAUCGAGGAAGGAGAGGUGGAAGAGGAAAUAAUAUGCAUGGAGGAAGAUCUUGGAAUCAAGGUGGGAGAACUCAAAUGCCUGGUCAUUUUUCACAGCCAUAUCAACCUAGAUGCCAAGUGUGCUUCAUUAUAGGACACACAGCUGCCACCUGCAAGGAUAGGUUCAACAAGGAUUUUAUUCCAGCAAGGUAUCCACAUCAAAACAAUUACAAUCAAGGUUUCAAUCAAGGCUACAGUCAAAGAAAUAUGUCAGCUUAUUUGGCAACACCAGAAACAGUAAUGGAUGAUGGCUGGUAUCUGGACAGUGGAGCAACUCACCACCUAACAAAUGAUCUCAACAAUCUCAACAUCAGUGAACCUUAUGAAGGUAAUGAAAAGCUUAUAAUUGGAAAUGGAUAUGGCCUUACUAUUUCUCGUAUAGGAAAUACUCAUUUAGCAGUUGGAAAUCACAAAUUGUUGCUCAAAAAUCUUUUAUUUGUGCCACACAUCACCAAAAAUCUUUUAAGCAUUUCUAAGCUAACUUCUGAUAAUUCCUUGAUCAUUGAAUUUUGUGGAAAUACCUGUUUUCUCAAGGACAAGAAGAAGAGGACAGUUUUGCUGGAGGGUGUGGCUAUGAAGGGUCUGUAUAAGCUGAAACUUGAGCCUGGAAAUAAAAUUCAUCAAGUCUUAUUUUCUACUGUAAAUAAAGAGUCAUGUUCUGAUGAUGCUCCAAUGUCCAUGGUGUCACAUUGUUCAGAUGAUUUGCAGUCUUGUUCUAGUGCAAACACUCAAGCUAAAAUUGCUCAAAAUUGUCUGUUGUCUCAUUCAAGUCCAGUUUCCAGCACUUCAAUAAAUAUCUUACAUAGGCAACUUGGUCAUCCUAGCUCAACAGUCAUGAAACAUGUUCUUACUGAUUGUAAACAUUUGCAAUUCAGCAAUAAAACUCAGCUUCCUUACUUUUGUGAUGCUUGCCAAUAUGGAAAAGUUCAUAAAUUGCAUUUUAAAACAACUGCAAACAAAACAGCCUCACCACUAGAGCUUAUUCAUACAGACUUAUGGGGUCCAGCACCCAUUACAUCUCUCAAUGGUUAUAAAUAUUAUAUCAGUUUCAUUGAUGAUUAUAGUAGAUAUACCUGGAUUUAUCCUUUGAAAACCAAGUCUCAAGCUUUGUCUGUUUUUAUCAUUUUCCAAACUCAAGUUGAAAAACAAUUUGGAACAGCCAUUAAGAGUUUACAGUCAGAUUGGGGGGGUGAAUUUAGGUCAUUUGUACCUCAUCUUCAAAAACAUGGAAUCUUAUUCAGACAUCCCUGUCCUCAUACACAUCACCAGAAUGGUAGAGUAAAAAGAAAACACAGACACCUUGUUGAGAUGGGUUUAACUCUCCUUGCCCAAGCCAAAUUACCUCUCAGUUUCUGGUGGGAAGCAUUCUCCACAUCUGCUUUUCUCAUCAAUCAAUUACCAACUUCAGUUCUGUCAUCCCAUCAGUCUCCCCAUGAAGUUCUUCACAAACACAAGCCUGACUAUGCCUUUCUGAAAUGUUUUGGUUGUUCAUGUUUUCCAUAUUUACGGUUCUAUAACAAACACAAAUUCAAUUAUCAUACCACAAAGUGUUUGUUUAUUGGUUAUAGUCCAGAUCACAAAGGUUAUAAGUGCCUAAGCUCCAAAGGUGUUGUCUAUGUUGCUAGGCAUGUUGUGUUUAAUGAGUCUGAGUUUCCUUUCUCUACUGAUCCUUUAUUCUCUAAACAGAAUUCUUCCUCUGUUUCUGAAUAUAGACAUCCUAUGUUUAAAGUAUCUUCAGUGUCAGUUCCACUUCCUGAUUCUUCAGGCUCAAGUGACACCUUUAUACAACAGCUUCAGAUGCCAGCAGCUUCAGCUUCUUCCUCUUCAUCUAGUUCUCCACCAAUUCAUAAUUCAUCACCUGAUCAAGCUCUACAGAUACUUCAUCCAAAUCAUAAUCCAUCCUCAAAUCAGCCUAUACAGUUACCUCAUCCACAUCAUAAUCCAUCACAUCCUCAUGCUCUACAGCCUACUCAUCCAAUGCUCACAAGAGCAAAAGCAGGAGUGUUUAAGCCAAAGUUUCUUGCCUAUUCUUCUGUUCUUGGAGAACCAGAACCUGCUACAGUCUCUCAAGCUCUCUCAGAUUCAAAAUGGAAGGCAGCCAUGCAGGCUGAGUAUGAUGCACUUAUGGACAAUAAGACUUGGAUUCUUGUACCAGCCUCUCAAGCUACUAAAAUUGUUGGUUGUAAAUGGGUUUUUCGCAUUAAGUACAAUGCAGAUGGUUCUGUUUCUAAGUAUAAAGCACGGUUGGUAGCAAAAGGGUUUCAUCAAACCCCUGGUAUUGAUUACUUUGAGACCUUCAGUCCUGUGGUCAAACAAUCAACUGUCAGAAUUAUACUUAGUCUUGUUGUGAUGAAGGGCUGGAAAAUAAGACAAAUCGACAUCAACAAUGCUUUCCUUAAUGGAGAGCUCAAUGAAGAUGUCUAUAUGUUUCAGCCUGAGGGCUUUGUUCAGUCUCCAUCGGGUCAUGUUUGCAAGUUGCAUAAGGCUCUUUAUGGUCUAAAACAGGCUCCCAGAGCCUGGUUUGAUAGGCUAAGGAAAGCACUGUUGCAGUGGGGGUUUCAGAACUCCAAAGCAGACUCAUCUUUGUUCAUCAAACAUGAAUCUGGAGGUAUUGUGGUUGUGUUGGUAUAUGUAGAUGAUAUAUUAAUUACUGGAGAUAAAAAUACAAUAAUUGAAACAUUCAUCAGAUAUCUUGGGGACACCUUUGCUUUAAAAGACCUGGGUGAGUUCAGCUACUUUCUUGGUAUUGAGGUUACACAUGCUGCAAAGGGUAGUUUACAUCUUUCACAAGCCAAAUAUGUGAGAGAUUUGCUUACAAGAACUGACAUGAAAAAUUGCAGAGAAAGUGAUACUCCAAUGAGUACAGGACAGAAACUGAGAAGAGUAGGAAAUGAUGAUAACUUGGUUGUCAAUGUUACUGAAUAUAGAAGCAUAAUAGGUGCUUUGCAGUACUUGGUGCUUACAAGACCAGAACUUGCCUUUUCAGUGAAUAAGUUGAGUCAAUUCCUUGCUGCACCAACUGAGAAACAUUGGAUUGCUUGUAAGAAAAUUCUAAGAUACUUGAAGGCAACUGAAGAUUAUGGAUUAUUGUUUAAAGCAGGUGAUGAAAUGAGGAUAACAGCAUAUACAGAUGCAGAUUGGGCGUGUGAUGUUGAUGACAGAAAGUCAGUUGGAGCAUAUUGUGUAUAUCUUGGGCAGAAUCUUAUUUCAUGGUCUUCCAAGAAGUAGCAAACUGUAGCAAGGUCUAGCACAGAAUCAGAAUACAGAGCAUUGUCAACAGCUUGUGCUGAAAUUGUUUGGAUUCAAGCCUUACUUGGGGAACUUAAACUGAAGUGCAGCCAAAUACCAAUCAUCUGGUGUGAUAACAAUGGAGCAGCAGCAUUAGCAACAAAUCCAGUGUAUCAUGCUAGAACUAAGCACAUAGAAUUGGAUGUGCAUUUCAUAAGGGAAAAGGUAACGAGCAAGCAAGUGGAAAUCAAGUAUGUACCAAGUGAGUGGAACAUUGCAGAUGUGCUAACAAAGCCUAUGGCUUACUCAUUUUUCAAUUACUAUAGAGACAAGCUUAAUGUUGUUCCACGACCGUUAAGCUUGAGAAGGGGUGUUGAGAUGAUUAAUCAACAGCAGCAGAGCAAUGGUUGAGAUUCACUUGACUAGGAUUGAUGAGCUGGACAGCUGAGCUGGACAAAUCAGUUAGUUCGUUAUUGUUGUUUUAGCUUAACCAAUGUUUAAUUGACAGCUGCUAAGAAGUUGUUAUUUGCUGUUAAUGAAUAAUAUAAGUUGAUGAAUGUGUGUGUGUAAUAAAAUAAUUCGAGAUCAAUAAAGCUCUCUUAUUCAGUUUAUUUUCUUUCUCCUUUUCUGUCACUUUCCUGCUAGCCAAACACAUUGUAUGCUUAAGAUCAGUAAAUUCUAAGUGGUGUAUACCUGAGUAAUUUGAUUCUGGGUGACAAGUGUAGUACGUUUCCCUCAUCAUUACUGAAGAACUGCUCCGGAGAAAGAGGAUAAUUGAGAUGCUUUUUCUUCAGGGAAGUUUUAACAACUUGGAUUAUAGCAAAACCGUCAACAGGAGGUAUUUGUCUACUAUGAUAAAAGGGAAUACCCAACAACAGCAGGAUCAAACUGCCCCCCAUAAACAACAAUGUGAACAUGAAAGUCUUCCCCCAUGUUUUAAUAUUAUUUGCAUAGAAUGCCGCAGCCACACCACAGCACCAGGAAAACCGCCACCACACUCUUUUCUGAGCCAUUACUUGAUUCUCAUUUGUAUUUUCUGUGCUCCCUCCUUCACCAUGUUCUCUUAAUUGAUCGGCAAGAAAUGGUCCCAGAAGAGGUGCCACUCCAACUUCACCCACUGCUAACAGGAUAAUUCCUAUCAUAUUGAGUAGCUCAAAGUUGGUUUAUGAAAUAUCUCUGGACGCUGUAUAGAACAAUAGCCCCAAUGCCUGCAACAAAAAUUGUUGGAACUAAUUGCUUUUCUUAAUCAUUAUUAUAAUCAGGAGUGCAGCCAAAAUGAAUACAUGCCACAUCAAUUAUAGCUUAACUAUUGGGAUCUUUAACAUUAUUUUCAUAGGGGUAAGGCUCCUAAUAUCCUCUUAUUAUGUAUAUUUUUCUCUACAUUCUGUGAAAUUUAACAUAUGCUGCAAAAUAAUAAUUUCUAAAUUUAUCCUAAAGUACUACAAAAUCCAGGUCCACCCCUGGAUAUAUAUUUCUUGCAGAUCAUAGACAGAUGUUUUAAUUUUGUCUCUGUUUGGAAGCUUAGCAAAUUUAAAACAUAUUUACUCACAAGGAUGUAGGAGACAGUUGAAAAUAUGAGGAUUCUGAGAGGACGGAUGGCAUAACACGACAUCCAGGCGGCAACAACCGCAAGAGUUGGUAAUAUUCCAUCCUGAAUACUCGUAAAUAUUGCAGCUUUCUGAAGUGUGAAUAGUUCUGAAUAUUCGGAGUCGGAGAAGUAAGUUAUCAAGACGCCCACUACAGCCAAGUCUACCAGUUUGCGCUUAUCAACAAACCUGGACUCAGAAUAUAAUCAUUAGAAGAAAUGUUCGUGCUCACUGAAAAAAGCAUACACAUGAAAACUACAAGAACAACAUAAGAACUGUUGCCAUGUUUUUAUUAUUUAGCCCAACUUAAUCAAAGAUAUUAAGUACACCAUCUUAACUAAAUAAAUACAUUAAUGCCACAUCAAGCAAAAUUACCUGACAUAAAUGCAGCAGCCUUACAAAAACAGACGUAAUAUCGUACCCAAGUUAUGAACCUCUUUUUAAGCUUCAACAACUGAGAAAAUGGAAACAUUGUAGUUUCUGAAACUGCUUACUUUUUCUGCAAAUAUUUCUACUUGUGAGUUGUGAGUCCUGAUCCCCGAGAUUCUGCAAAUUUGGCGCAUACCAAAGUCUUCGAUAAGUCUUCUAAAAAGUUAAAUUAAGACAGCGUGUACUCGUAAUGAGUGGUGCAACUUGCAUGCCGUACAUAUGACGUAUGACGUACGAGGGGAAAGAAAAUGAAAGGGACAUAAAACCAUUCACACGCUCGUUUAUUAACGGAAAUAUUUUUUUUAAAUCAAUAAAAGGUUAAUAUUGUAAUUAUAUAUUAAUAACAAAUACAUUUACCUAAAAACCCCCCACCAACAAACACUAAUGCAAAAUGUCUUCACACACACUUAACACACACGAACUAAACGCGCGCGCACUUAACACACACAAACAAAACACACACGGAUACAACUUGAUAGAAUUACAAAACACCAGCCUAAUAACAAACUACCAAGAACACCAACUACCAGAUCUAGAUCUAGAGUCAAGAUCUAUUAACAUUCAAUUCCAGAACCUAAAACAAUUAACCCCCAAAAUCCAUAAAGAGCUCUGCCCUGCCUCUUGAGAGCGUAAACGACAUCCAUCGCAGUCACGGUCUUUCCACUGAACGCGGGUUGCUGCCACUGAUCUCUCUGCCAGAAGCUGCUGGUACUGCUUGCGAUCGAAACUGCCGCUGGUGCAACCUCAAAUUGAAACCACCGCUGCAGGUGCUGCUGCUCGUUGCCACUGUAAGCUGCUGCUCGUCAAUUCGGUAAUCCUCUGUGAUGAUCAGAAGUCGUCUUUGUAUCCCGGGUUUUAUACGAUGAUGAUGGUGGUCAUAUUUGUUUUUGCUUUCGUUUUUCGUUUUUAGUUUGUAAGAUUAGUAAAAAAAAUGAUAGCAAAGAGAUGUAUUGAUGAUGAAAGUAGAUUAUUAAUUUGCGUUUAGUUUUAUCCGGUCAAAUGUUGUAAUGCCUCGGAAGGUGAUAGUUUGAUUCUCAGAUUGAAUAAAAGUAACCGUGCAGACAAACUGUCCAGCGUAGUUUGACUGAGAACUUCAAAUUAAUGGAUUACAAAAUAUCUAGAAUAUUUGCAUGUUGACAGCAAAGAAACUGUCCAAUUUUAUUUUAUUUAUUUGUAAAAUGAAAUAAAGUUUGGUUAAAUCUUUAGGUACCAAUAAUGUAUUCAUUUUGGAGAGAAAUUUUAUGGUAAGAU